AUUCCUUUCGGUAGGCUCCGCUCCCCCGAAUUCCACCGAAUAUCCGUCUGACGGAUAUUGUCACUCCUCUGAGCAACAAGGAAAGCAACCAUUUUGAUCAUCCCGAUAAAUCCCAUGCUCUUGCUCCUGCACUUACUUAUUGCAUUAGGAUCAAAUGCUUCAAAUGCUUUUGCCACGUUAGUUGAACCCACUUCCUUUGCAUGUCCUAUCCUUGUCACAGUAAAUAGCUGAACCUUGCAACCUAGCAUGCCUGGUAGUUGCUUGAGCCAUGAUGUGCCUUAUCCUGCUAUGCAUGCUAUGCUUAGAGUUGUGUAUGGUCUGUCAUCUGGGAGAUGAACAGAAUUGUAAGAAUAUGUUCGGUAAGCAAAGGUUGUGUGUUGAAACUGAUUUGUUAAAGGUACCGGUGAAAGGCUGUGUAGGAAUACAUGGCAGGUUGUUUCAUUAGAACCGUCCUUAGGAGCUGAGUUCCGUGUAUGUAAUCCAAGACUAGAUACUACAACACGUUGGGAUACUUAAUUGACCCUCUCGACUUAUUAAUCGCUUAGUACUCGAUCCAGGAGUUGCAAGUAGUUUCUGGUGUUUAUAGUCAUGCUGGAGGCCGUGCAUAGCGCUGACCUGAGAGGUGUGCUGUGAUGCGGUAGGCAAUGGCACGGUGUACCAAGUGACAUCCGGAUGGUGGGCUUGGGAACCCUGCGCACAUCGUUUGGGGCCANNNNNNNNNNUACCUGAGAGGUGGGCUGUGAUGCGAUAGGCAGUGGCACGGUGUAUCAAAUGGCACCCGGAUGGUGGGCUUGGGAACCCUGCGCACAUCGUUUGGGGCCGUGGCGGAAACCUCAGCCGGACUUCCGUGCGGGUUAUCCUCAGAUAGGCGAUAGACCUGGACUAGGUACUAAUGUGGUUAACGGUCGUGGCCGACUCCCUCGCUGGGCUUCCGCUUGAAGGUUGCCAAGGUGCAUGACGUGCACAUGGCGAUAAGUAGCGAGAACGUGCGUGACGAAAUACACUCCUGAAGGGUUAUGAUCUAUUCGAAUAGCCGCGUCCGCGGAUAUGGACUACUUGGAGACAUAUGUUGUUCAUAGAUAACUUUAAUGGUUACUCAUAAAAUUGUCAAGAUAAACGUGAGUGUCGUUGACGGCAUUACCAUAUGGAGACGGAAUGAUUCCACGAUGGAGUAUUGUUGUGGUGUUAGUGGACUCGUGUGCGAGAAAUCAAGUUGUCGAAAUUAUUUAAAAAUGCAAGUUGUCUAGCCACGAGUCAAAUGUUGGCGUUCCGCAGGAAACCCCACAAUACCUUAUUGAUACAUUGCAUGAGUAGAUAGUUAUCUCGAAGUCUUGCUGAGUACCUCCGUACUCAUGUUUGCUUAAUAAAUGUUGCAGAGGUUGCUAAUGACCCUAAUGGAGGGUUCUUCAUAGAAAUCGACGACGACGAGUAGCUGGUGUCCCAGCUACGAUCUGGCCCUAGGUUGGGUCUGUAGUAUAGUCAGGCUAUGUGCCUUCUAGUUUCACUUGUCUGUACUCAGACAGUUUUAAACACUUCCGCUGGCUUGUAACUGAAUGACUGCUAUUAUGGGUCGUGAGACCCUUACUGUGUAAUAUUAUGUGUGUGGCUCUUCCGAGCCACUUAAAUAAAGCUUGUAUGUUUAUGGUUAUGUUGUGAUGCCAUCGAUGUAUCUAUACGUNNNNNNNNNNGCUUAAAUAAAACUUGUAUGUUUAUGGUUAUGUUGUGAUGCCAUCGAUGUAUCUAUACAUAUCGGUAUGCCAUGCGUACGUGUGUCGUACUUGAUAUGUAUGGGGUUCGAUUACCUAGCCGUAAACUUUAGUAGCUCUCCUUACAGGGAAAUGCCCCUUUGUGAUCCAACGAGCCAUAGUAGCUCGCUACUGCUCCGGACACAUUGGUUGACCGGCGUGUGUCCUUCAUAGCUGUUGUGUCUGUUUCCUUUGGGGAAAUGUCACGCGAUGUAAUGGAGUCCUUGUAGCUGGCUACGACUCGUCUACAUUCGCCGGUGACCGACACCUGCCUUGCUGGGUCAUGUAUGCCUGUCCCUGUGCGGAAUUGCCACUUUGGUUUAUGACUAGACAUGUCGAUCCGGGUUCUUUGUCAUUGGACUGCUAGCGACACAAUUGCAUACGUGAGUCAAAAGGCGCAAACGGUCCCGGCUAAGGUAAGGCUGCAGCCGUGGGGUUAACCGUGCGUGAGACNNNNNNNNNNNNNNNNNNNNNNNNNNNNNNNNNNNNNNNNNNNNNNNNNNNNNNNNNNNNNNNNNNNNNNNNNNNNNNNNNNNNNNNNNNNNNNNNNNNNUCGGUGACCGACACCUGCCUUGCUGGGUCAUGUAUACCUGUCCCUGUGCGGAAUUGCCACUUUGAUUUAUGACUAGACAUGUCGAUCCGGGUUCUUUGUCAUUGGACUGUUAGCGACACAAUUGCAUACGUGAGUCAAAAGGCGCAAACGAUCCCGGCUAAGGUAAGGCUGCAGCCGUGGGGUUAACCGUGCGUGAGACCGCAAAUGGAUGCGAUGUGUCACAGGCUGGAUUCCUAUGGCUUAGGAUCGGGGUCCCGACACAAGGAAUAGAGAAAUGUAAUUAGGAUUAGUAAGGAAAACAUUUUUUGAUCCAUCAAUCAAUGUAAUGACACAACAAUAGUAGCACCUAGAGUGAUAGCAUGAUAGAUAGAUGGGCAUCUUGACUUAAAAAACUAUUCCAUAGUUGGCUUUGUUUUGUCUCCAAUGAUUACUCACAAAUUAGACUCACAUCUGACAUACGCAAGUAAGCAAAAAUGUUUGCAUGGCUGAAACUAAGAAUUCAAACUAUAUACAUAAUACAUGGAUUUGUGCAAUCUGAAUAACAAAAAUGCAAUAUAGAGUAGGCGGGUUGACAUACUUGCUACUUCCUCUUGCUGCUCAUUCUGAUUAGAUACGGCAGAUUGUAUAACUUUGUAAUCCAAUAUGCUUUGUCAAACCUUUCGACUUUUCGCCUUCGAAGAAACAUUGUCCGGAAUUGGAGGAUUCUAUAUUUUAUAUCCUUGAUCUUAGAAAAUAUAUGUGAGUGGACCUGAAUGUGGAUGUAUAACAGAAAUAUGAAAUAACAAAAAAUGCAAUGAUGCAUACUUACAUGCAAGACAACAUUAAUUAUCUUUCCAACUUCUAAAAGACAAUAUAUUAAUACAACCAUGUCUGAUCUCAACUGACUAGAAAUUCAUUGAUAUGAAGCUUGUUAGGAAAGAAUCAGAUGAUUAGUUUUUUAGGACAAAUGACCAAGUUUUAUAGAACUGACAUGUAAUACACAUUACAGGAGAUGUUAGUUCACCUGCGAUUUUUUAAUAAAUUGGGUGGCACAACUGGAAAUAUUCACACUUCACAGAUUAGUAGAUUAUCUAGUUUGUAGUGCUCAUAAGCCCAAUUACAAUUAACCAUAAUAUUAGGACAUGAGUAGCAACUAUAACAUUAAAAAUGUAGGUUUUACCAGAGAUUAUUUGUAGCAUGGAAUUACCUCAUAUAUACAGAAUUGUGUUGUCAAAAGAUCAAGACACAUCUUAAUUUUUGCAUUCUUAUUGAAAACACGACGUCUCUUUCUUCUAGUACUCACACCGAAACAUGCCAUAAUAUUUCACCUUACAAAUUUCCAUCUAGUCAUAGAAACAAAACAAUCUGGCAUUGUAAAUUGUACAAAUAAGAUCACUACCUUAAAUGUUAAAUUAGCAGACAAAAAAUUGGCUUUGCUGCUAGGAUAAUUCUUAGUGUGAAUCAAUGUUAACCAAUCUGACGUCCGAGCUCACCGAUCACAUUCGCCAUCAUGGCCCGUCUCAACGCGAGUAAUUUCCAGAAUGGGGCGACGAUGACAAUGACGUAGAGAGAUAUCAAAUCUUCUUUGACAUGAUCCUGUACAAAGCAAAUUCCAUCUAUUUUAAUCGAAUAGCAAUGAAUUAAUGUACACAAUAGUUAGCUAGCUAACCAUAAGAUUCAGCAGUUCUGGCUAUAUAGAUCACACUACACACGCACACUGAAUCGCUGGAUUGAUUACAGGCUUAGUACUACUCGGACAUAUACAAAGUACGUCCAACACACGACUGUAUAGACUAUACAUAUAUUAACAUGCAUCUAUGGCGUGCACAAUGUUUAUUCUAUGAACAUGAAUCAAAGCCCGUCAUCUACGAUAGAAAGUGCUUCUAAUCUGCAACUCAUCUUGUGAUGCCGGCGAUGGGGCUACUCCUGCUCGAACGAGCAGCAGCCAGGCGUGGGGGCACCUGAAGGCACCGUGGCCGCCCCACUAAGGACAAGCCCAACACCACUAACAUCGGAAGAGAACAAAGAUCGAAGACCUGCAGUUAUGCCAACACGAGAUGGAAAGGCCAAACGACGACUUUGGAGUUUGGACUCACCAUAUUUCAUUACAGAUAGGUCUGGUGGAGAUCUGAAGCUCCAUGAGUUCUUGGCCUCGAUGAAGGUCGCCGAUGCUGGCUUCCUGGUGAGACCGACAUCACCAGUGUGCCGGCCAAGAACUAAAAGUGUAAAGCAAUGAUAAACAUCCAACAUUUUCUCCAUGUGAAGAAGAUUCAGUUGGUUUGCCGGCAUUCACCUCGCUUAGGGUGAAGGUGGCAACCAGUUGAGUUAACACCUGCAAGUACCCAAAUGACAAUCUGAUUGCAGCACACAAAGAAAAUAAAUGAAACUCUACCUUAAGAUUUUUAUCCAAGUAUUGUGAAACAAAAAAACCUUUAUCGGUAUCGGGAAACCAGAGAUUGGGUGGGGCUUAAUACCAAACCACCUGGUGUUCAUCUCUCAAUUCAGACAGAAUGUAAGCAUAAUAAUGAGGGCAAGGAGAAACAAAUAUAUGGAGGGAGGGGUUGUACCUCAGCCGCAUCAGUCCCCAUGCCAGCCAAAUACAGAGAGGGAUGCCUUUGACCACUCGCACGUUGCCUCGAUCCAAAUCGCCGUUGCCGCUGGGAGUGUCUUCGGGAGUUGGAUGGUAGAGAUGCGGGAAAAAGUCGGGCCAGGGAGGCUGGCAGAACCUUCACUCGAUGGAGGCGACCACUAGGAGAGAGAGCACGAGGGCGUGGAGCCGGCGGUCGAGAGGUAGGACAUCGUUGGGCGACACUGUAGGGACAGUACGGUGUCGGGUGAUGCUGCAGAGGCAGGGCGGCGUGGGGCGUCGGCGGGACGGCGUGGGAAUCGACCGCCGAUAGCCCCCGGCAGCAUGCCGCGGCGAUGGGGGCGUGGGGAACGAAAGAAGCUAGGGAUUUGGUGCGCGAGGAUGAAUGGAUCGUGGGCGGCGACGUUCUUGCGACUUUGGGGAAAAAGCUUCGCGGGUUGGGCCACAUAUUGGCGCUAAACUUUUUGCUAUUCGCGUGUGAGGUCCGUCGAACAGUUGGUGCCGUGAUGUUGACCAUAGGAAUUACUUUUUAUUUGAUACUUUGAUCUUAUUUUUCAGGAUUUAGAUAUUACAUAUGCAUCGAUGUAUUUCUUGGAAUUUAAAACGAACAUUUUAUUUAGUCUCUUUUAAUUUUAAAAAAUAUAUAUAUCCAGAACUUCCUCCACUUAUUUGGGAUGAAUCUCUUAUGAAGCCGACACUUUUCACUGUAUCCUCGCUCUUACAAAAUUUCCUAUAUGAGGCAAACUGCAUCAAUUAGGAGAGGAAACACAUAGACAACGAGCGAACUGACGAGUCACUUUUAAUUGUAUGCAAAGCUUUCCUAAACUGGUUUUUCGUUUCUUGUAUAGAAUUUACUUUUUUUCGUUUUUACGUGUUCUAUUUUUUGUUUAUUUUUCUUUUCUCAUAGAAUCUAAAUUUCCAAAAAAAACUGAAAUGUUCAGGAAUUCAAAAAUUGUUCUUUUAAAAGCAAAUGUUUAGGAUUUUCAAAUAUUCUUUGAGUUUUAGUAAAAUGUUCAGGAAUUUGAAAAUUGUUCACUUCUUCACUAAAUAAAUUUCUUGAAAAAAUACCAAAAAAUGUUUGGAUAUUCAAAUUUUUGUUCACGCUUUUUGAAAAUGUUCGAGAUUUAUAAAAUGACGUUUUUAAAAACGUUCAGAUUUUUCAAUUAUGUUCGAUUACUUAAAAGAAUCACAUUAGAUAUUUUGUUCAUGUUUAAAAAAAUGUUCAAUAUAAGUGAAAAUUUGAAAUUAUGUUCGUGUUUUGGAAAAACUGUUCGGGGCGUUGCUUCUUUUUUCACAUUUGUCAUGUUAUUUAGUUCAAUAAAAGGCACGAUGCACUUUUGUCACAAGUGUCCGUCGGUUCAACUUGCAAACAGCUUGUGUUGAAUUGUUCCAGGUUCGAAACCUCACAUCAGCAAUUUUUGUUUUGUUUUUUGCAUUUAUUACGUUACCAACACAUCUGAUCACUCGGCCAGGCCCAUGAAGCGAGCCUCGUGUGCCGCUAUGGUUCGCUUAGCUUUGGGACAUUGGCCCAUUGGUUGAUGAAAAAAUGGAGAUGGCUACCGUAGUCCAACAGACCAACCUUUGUCAAGAAAUUAGUGGCAUUCGCCCAAAAAAACUUAUUAUUUUUUACCAAUGGCUACUUGGUCUGAUGGUUGGCUCCUUUUCUAUUGAGCUAUUUGUCCCUCUUUUAUUUGGAUCUAUGGCCAAAAUUUUUGUUGCCAUUUGAAUUAAGUGUCACGUUGGUCCCCUUUCGGUCUUAGUUAAAUAAUACAUCAAAGAGUAAGUAAAUAAUUUAAUCCAAACAAGCGGGUCGUAAGUGUUUUGAUAGUUAUGAUUUAUUAAUGAGUUAAUCAGAUUCUUCGCUUAUUCCCUAAGAUUUGUAACACUAGGUGUUAACAUACAUUUAUGUGUUACUACAAUCGUUUGUCGUAACACGUCUACGGCAACAAGAAUCUAAAUGUUACUGUUCUAAUAUCCUUGUAACACCUUUUCCGGUCUUACCGAGUAUGUGUUACCAUCGAAACUUGCAACACAAUGGAUGUGUUACUACAAUUUUGCUUGUAACACGUUUUGUCAUGUGUUACAUCAUUAUGUUACUUAACAUCUGUUUUCUUAUAGUGUUGUAACACAUGCAAGAACCCCUUCUUGGAUUGUUUCAUUUUGAACUUCUUCAAAACUUUAUCAAGGUAUGUGCUUUGUGAAAGUCCUAUUAGGCGCCUCGAUCUAUCUCUAUAGAUCUUAAUGCCUAAUCUUUAAGAAGCUUCUCCUAGGUCUUUCAUUAAAAAACUUGUGUUCAAGUAAUCCUUUACGCUCUUCAAAAACUCCACAUUGUUUCCAAUCAACAAUAAGUCAUCCACAUAUAAUAUUAGAAACGCUAUAGAGAUCCCACUCACUUUGUUGUAAAUACAAGCUUCUCCUACAACUUGUAUAAACCCAAACGCUUUGAUCACCUCAUCAAAGCGCUUAUUCCAACUCCGAGAUGCUUGCACUAGUCCAUAAAUGGAUCACUGGAGCUUGCACACUUUUUCAGCACUCUCUGGAUCGACAAAACCUUCAGGUUGUAUCAUAUACAACUCUUCCUUAAGAAACCCAUUAAGGAAUGCCGUUUUGACAUCCAUCUGCCAGAUUUCAUAAUUAAAAAAUGCAGCUAUUGCUAACAUGAUUCGGACGGACAUAAGCAUCGCUACGGGUGAGAAUGUCUCAUCGUAGUCAACUCCUUGAACUUGUGAAAAACCCUUUUCCACAAGUCGAGCUUUAUAAACGGUCACAUUACCUUCUGCGUCCGUCUUCUUCUUAAAGAUCCAAUAGUUCUGAAUAGCCUUGCGACCUUCAGGUAAUACUUCCAAACUCCACAAUUUUUUCAUACAUAGAUCCUAUCUCGGAUUUCAUGGCCUCUAACCAUUUGUUGGAAUCUGGGCCCACCAUUGCUUCUCCAUAACUCGCAUGCUUAUUGUUGUCUAACAACAUGAUAGACAAGACAUGAUUCCCGUACCACUCAAGAGCAGUACGUGCUCUUGUCGACCUGCUAGGCACGACAGUAACUUGAUCUGAAGCUUCAUGAUCAUCAUCAUUAGCUUCCUCUUCAACCGGUGUUGCCUCGACACAAAUUUCUUUCUGCCCUGCGCCACCAUCUUGUUGAAGCAGAGGUUCUGUAACCUCAUCAAGUUCUAUCUUCCUCCCACUCAAUUCUUUCAAGAGAAACUCUUUCUCAAGAAAAGCUCCGUUCUUAGCGACAAACAAUUUCCCUCGAAUACGAGAUAGAAGGUGCACCCAACUGUCUAUUUUGGGUAACCUAUGAAGACGCACUUUUCCGCUUUGGGUUCCAGCUUUUCAGGCUGAAGCUUUUUGACAUAAGCAUCACAUCCCCAAACUUUAAGAAACAACAACUUUCACUUCUUGCCAUACCAUAGCUCAUAUGGUGCCGUCUCAACGGAUUUUGAUGGUGUCCUAUUUAAAGUGAAUGCAGCUGUCUCUAAUGCAUAGCCCCAAAAUGAUAAUGGCAAAUCGGUAAGAGACAUCAUAGAUCGCACCAUGCAUAUCUAACAAAGUACGAUUACGACGUUCGGACACAUCAUUAUGCUGUGGUGUUCCAGGGGGUGUCAACUGUGAAACAAUUCCACAUUGUCUUAAGUGAGCACCAAACUCGUAACUCAGAUACUCUCCUCCUCGAUCAGAUCUUAGGACCUUGAUCUUCUUGCUCAUAUGAUUUUCAACUUCACUAUGAAAUUACUUAAACUUUUCAAAUGUUUCAUACUUGUGCUUCAUCAAGUAGAUAUAGCCAUACCUACUCAAAUCGUCAGUGAAGUUGAGCAAAUAACGAUAUCCGCCAUGCGCCUCUAUGCUCAUUGGUCCACACACAUCGGUAUGUAUAAUCUCCAAUAAGUCACUUGCACGCUCCAUUGCUCCAGAGAACGGAGUCUUAGUCAUCUUGCCCAUGAGGCAUGGUUCGCACGUGUCAAGUGAUUGAAAAUCAAGUGACUCCAAAAGUCCAUCAGCAUGGAGUUUCUUCAUGCACUUAACACCAAUAUGACCUAAGCGGCGGUGCCACAAGAAAGUGGCGUUAAUGUUAUUGACAUGAGUGUCAUCACAAUCGAGAUUCAAUAUGAACAAACCCCUCACAUUGGGUGCAUGACCAUAAAAGAUAUUAUUCAUAUAAAUAGAAGAACCAUUAUUCUCAGACUUAAAUGAGUAACCAUCUCGCAAUAAACAAGAUCCAAAUAUAACAUUCAUGCUCAACGCAUGCACUAAAUAACAAUUAUUUAAGUUCAUAACUAAUCCCGAUGGUAACUGAAGUGAGACCAUGCCGACAGCUUUUGCAUCAACCUUGGAACCAUUUCCCACGCGCAUCGUCACUUCAUCCUUUGCCAACCUUCAUUUAUUACGUAGUUCCUGUUUCGAGUUGCAAAUGUGAGCAAUAGAACUGUUAUAAAAUACCCAGGCACUACUACGAGAGUUGGUGAGGUACACAUCAAUAACAUGUAUAUCAAAUAUACCUUGUUUGGCGUUGGCCGCCUUCUUAUCGACCAAAUACUUGUGGCAGUUGCGCUUCAACUUACCAGUCCCCUUGCAAUAAUAGCACUCAGUUUCCUACUUAGGCCCAGCCUUGGGUUUCUUCAUCGGAGGGGCAACAGUUUUGCCACUCUUCUUGGAGUUACCCUUCUUGACUUUGCCGUUCUUCUUGAAACUAGUAGUCUUAUUGACUUAUGAUGAGUUGAUGGAUAUACUUCUCGCCCCUCGUUGGUUACCCCAAGUGGAAGGUGGCGAUGUAGUCAGCAUCAGAUUUCCCUUACACGGAGACUGUAAGGUUUAUCGAACGAGGGGGACUCCUAGGCUCAACAAGUAGGUGUCUUCCACCCUGGCGCUAGCAGAAGACAUUGACCUGCGCACACAACAAAUAACUUUGCUCCCAAGAGUACAUAGAGGUUGUCAAUCUCUCCGGCCUUGUAGUUUGCAAAGGAUCAAAACACAAGCGGGAAGGUAAUAGUGAUUGCAACGGAAAAGUAAAUGAAAGCGGUAAAUGAUGGAGGUGUAAACAAUGAUGGUGAUAUGGACCGGAGUCACAUGAUGUUCGCUAGUGAUGUCUCUCUCCGAAAAGACGAUAACCAACUAUGCUUGGGUAAAAAAAUCACAGUUGGGCAAUUGAGAGAAUUAUGAUCGCACCGCAAUGCUAAUUAUGCUACUUGAUAGUUAGAGGUUCAAUAGUAAUGGGCAGUACGCCAAGACAAGUAGACCGUUUAUUCAUUAGAAUCUACUUACUAAUCAUCCACCUUGAGAUAUCUAUCCAGAACAUCUCUCCGAUAUUAAGUUGCGAGCCCCACACAAAGUGUAAACUCAAAGCAAAGGAGAACUCCAUUAACGAACUAUGCGUAAGGUAAACAAUCGUUGCAACCGUGGUCACAAGAACCGUUGUUUUCGCCUGGUGGCAACAAUCACAUCCCCUAGUCUCAUGUUUCUGUCACUCAAGCUAGACAUCGAGGGGCAUGAACCCACAAUCAUUCAUAACGCUCCCUCUUGGCGUUACAAUCUACUAGUCGGCCAAAACAAUAAAUAGCAAUGGAGAACAUGCAUGAAUCACUAAGGAACAUGAUAUAAAAGGAUAAUCAAAUAUGUAACUCAUAACAAUCUGAACAUAAUCUCAGAAUCCAUCGGAUCCCAACAAACCAAGCAUAGCAAUAGCAAGAGAAUUACAUAGAUACCUUGAUCAUGUAGGGCAGCUCACAAGGACUAACCAUUGAAGCACAAGAUUGGAGAGAAGACAUCACAUAACUACUGGUCAUGGAAUCAUGGUCCAAGGAGGACUACCCACGACACGUCCGGGAAGCGUCCAUGGCGGUGGAGAAGCUCCCGGAGGUCAAUCCUCCCUCCAAUAGGGUGCGGGAAAGAGGUCUCCUGACGCUCCCGAUCUCGGAAGCGCUGCGGUGGAGAAACGAUGGAGAAAAUCGCGAUUCCAGAAGUUGUUGAAGGGUUUCCUCUCGGGACUCCAAAUAUAGCCCAAAGGAGGGCACCGGAGGAGGUGGGACCCACCCAGGCGGCCUCCUGGCGCGGCCUAGGGCCUGCCCGCACCAGCAUUUCGUGUGGGAGGCCCCUAGCCCCCCUCUGACCCAUCUUCAGUGAUCCGGAUGCUUCUGUUUCGCUGAUUUUUUUUAUAUUUUUCUUGAAUUUUUCGGACUUCGGAAAAUUGGGUAAAAUCCCCUGCAAAAAAACAUCAGUAGACAGAAACUGGCAGUGGGUGCACUGAGUUAGUAGGUUAGUACAAACAUGUGUAAAAUGAUAUAAAAUUGUAGCAAAACAUAUAACAAUGUCACCCAAAAGAUCAUGGAACAAGCAGAAAUUAUAGAUAUUUUUGGGACGUAUCAACAUCCCCAAGCUUAAUUUCUGCUCGUCCUUGAGUAGAUAACUUAUAACACAUAUAAGAACUUCAAAGUAAAGCAAGUGAGAUAUGCAAUUCAAGUCAAUACAACAACAAGAAAGAGUCUAUAUCUAGUAUUGAGUUUAGCAAAGUAAGAACAUAAAGGUGCAAGAGCUCUCGCUAUCCGUGACUCGAAUGUCUCCAAAUGGUGUUUGCGUGCAAGAAGUGGGAGAUGGAUUGAGAUCAUAAAAUAUUUAUUAAUUGAGAACUCAAUCUACUAAAAUUUCACACUUAGUCUCCUUCAGAAUCUUAUUUUGACUCAUCCCCAGACCACUAGUCAGGCACAAUUCAAAAUGAUCCUCUCCCUUUCGACUUUGAGAACUCAUGCAAUGGAUUAGCGUAAGAAAGAUAUUUUGGCACUUAGGAUGGCAAAUAGAAUAAUGAUGGGUAAGGAAGACAAAUAGGGUGUGAAAGGCUCACAUCAAUGAGGACAACCAUAGGCGAGAGAAAGCCAAAUAAUAGAUAUGAUGUGAGGAGUAGGGAUUGCCAUGUAACGGAUGCACAUAUGAGCUAAGGUAAGCUCUCCAAUGGAACUAGUGGGGGUGCAUCCAACUUAUUUGCUCAUGAAGACCUAGAGCUCAUUUGAGGAGGCUCAUCAUUGGAAUAUGCAAACCAAGUUCUAUAUUGUAAGGGUCCCCACAUAGUUAUGCAUGAAUGAUAAUCUCUAUGUAGUACCAAUAUAGCAAUGGAGUAAGAGUGUGGAUCUUUCAAAAGGAAUAGUAGUGUUGACCCCUUCUCUCUUUUUAUUUCUUUUUUAUCUUUUUAUCUUUUUAUUUUUUAUUUUUUUGUUGCCUCUUUAGCUCUUUAUUUUUAUCUCUCAUUUGUCCUCUUUGGGAUCUUUUGUUUUGUCCAAUUUGUGAUCUUUUCCUUACCUAAGGGCAACACUCUAUGUUUUACAUGAAUAAAAAGAAAAAUCAUCACACUUUAUAAGAAGUACUCAACAUAAAGACAAGUGAAAACUAUCAUGAUGUAUGCAAAUGUAUGCCUCUGCCAGUGUAGCAGGAUAUGCAAUGAUACUAGCACGUCAUGUAGAAGUAAUAAGGGCAAGGCCCAACUAGCAUGCAGCUCCUCGAUCAAGAAAAAGCAUGUAUGACAUGAAGAUGAAGUCAUGAGAUGGUGGAUGUCGCAUAGCAAUGUAUCUCGUAAAGGCUAUGGAAAUGCUAGUAGGUAGGUAUGGUGGCUGUUUUGAGGAAAGAUAUAAUGAGGCUUAUCUAUGACAAAGCGUAUGAUGUGAUGGUUUGGAUGCACCGGCGGAGUUUGCACCAACUCUCAAUGUGAGAAAGGGCAAUGCACAGUACCGAAGAGGCUAGCAAAAUAUGGGUGGUGGAAGUGCCAACAAUCAAAUACUCACAUUAGUCCGAAGAACUCAUACACUUAUUAUCGGUAACUCUCUGUCUAGUAAGGAAAUUCACAAAGAGACAAGUACCCCGAGGAGGAGUGUUCGGGGGUUUGGUUAUCCUUGUGCAUCCUUGACUCUUGGUAAUGUGAGGGUACUCUAUAUAUUCCAAUCCCUCCAGAGCUUAGCGAUCAAUUUGUAGCUAGAGUUCUCAACUAAUUUUUAGUUUUUGAAAAACACACGGAUUUCCCAAAAUAUGACACCUAUCACUAAUAGGCUCAAGCUCUUGGCACCAAUAGUCCAAACAUUACUCAAAUCAAUACCUCAAAACUAUUACAAGUUACUACUAUACUUAAAUAGCAACCUCAGUUACCUACUCAUGCAAGACACACAACUCAGUGCAACGAGCCAACUCUCUAAAAAAGAUAAGCAUGAUAACUCAAGAGAGUUACAGAAGCAACCUAGAUAAUAGCUCUUAAAAAGAUAAGCAUUAAAACUAAGAGCUAAGCAUGACAGUAGCUACGAAAAAGAUGAACACACAAAAGGGAUAAGCAUGAAGACCUAUGUUCUAUUCUAGAGUGGAAUGGAGCAUGUCUCUCUCGCAAACAAGGUAGGCUAGGUUCCGACUUGUUAUGAACAUCAAGCAAAACUAAAACAAACUAAAAAGUAAAGAGCGAAAUGCUCCAAGCAUAGCACAUAUCAUAUGAAGUGAUAAAAAUAUAGCAUGGAGAUGGUCAAACUAAUGAUUGUUGAUAGAGAAGGGGAUGCACGGGGACAUCUCCAAGCUUAGACGCUUGAGUAUCCUUUGAAUAUUUCUUUGGGUGCAUGGGGGCAUCACCAAGCUUGAGCGCUUGGCACUCCUGUAUUUUCUUUCAUGAUCUCGCAUCGCAUACUUGAAAACUCCCUUCAUACGGAACUCAUCAUAAGCUAAUUAGAGUGGUUAGUUCCCUUAAUAAAAUAAUGCAUUACCUGCUGGAAAUAAAGAUUUUCAUGAAAAGCUACUACUUAUUAUGAAUUCCAAAAGGUUUUUUCAAAUAAAAAGUAAGCUUAGGAUUUGCAAAACAAUGAAAACGCAAAACAUGGCAGAAUAUGUGAAAAACAGAACAAAAGGUAGUAAAUAAUUUAUUCGGGGCACUUGUGCAACUCAAAUAAAAAACUCAGAACAAAUGUCAGAAAGUAAAUUAUAUAGAGAAUGCUGUCAAAAAAUUCAGAUCAAAAUUAUGAUCUGGUGGCUUUUGGCAAGUUUUUCCGUCAAGCAGACAGAAUAUGUUUGUCGACAAAAUGUCUCAAUUUUUGAACUUUCUUGCAAUCGGAGGCUAUAAAUUGGCACAAAGAUUAAAAAUAAAGAUACAAUGAUGUUUCUACAGUAUUAACAAGCAUCAAGACCACUAAAACAGAAAGUAAAAACAAAUUGGGUUGCCUCCCCACAAGCGCUUUCUUUUAUGCCUUUGAGCUAGGCAUAAUGCAAGAAGAUCAAGUGUUAUCAACUCCAAAUAAUAACUUGCCCGAGUAUCGGACUCAUAUGGUAACUUACUCUUCUUUAUACGAAAGUGUUCCAUUCCCUUUUUAAGAGGAAACUUGAAUUUAAUAAUUCCCUCUUUCAUGUCAAUGAUAGCACCAACGGUGCGGAGAAAAGGACGUCCCAAAAUAAUUGGACAUGAAGGAUCACAUUUAGUGUCCAUAAUAAGAAAAUCAACGGACACAUAAUUAUCAUUGACAAUAAUAAGAACAUCAUCAAUUCUUCCUAAAGGUUUCUUUAUGGAAGAAUCAACAAGACGAACACCAAAAGAACAUGGAUCAUAAGGUUUCCAAUCAAGCAUAUCAUACAUUCUUUUGGGCAUAACAGAAGCACUAGCUCCAACAUCACACAAAGCAAAGAAAGAGAUAUUAUUCAAUUUUAUUUUGACCAUAGGAUCCAAACCAUAUUCUAGUUUCCUAGGAAUAGAAGGCUCAAGCUUGAGCUUCGCCUCCCUAGCUUUGAUAAGAGCAUUGGUAAUAUGCUCGGUUAAGGCAAUAUUGAGUGUACUAGUGUGGGGGUCUUUACCAUUCUUUGCAAAAAUGUGAUAACUUCAGAGAGACUACAAUUGUCAAAAUAAUGGUUACUACCAUUAAUUAAAGUGGUAGUAAUGUCAUCUAAGCUCAUUCUUUUUGUAGUCUCUAAAUUCAUAGGACUUUCUUGUCCUAUAGUUGAGGUAUUAACAUCACCAUUAAUAGGUCCAUUGGGAUUAGGAGUGCGAUGGGUGCUAAUAGUUUUGAGAUCCUCAACAACUUGUAUAGUAGCAAUGCUAGUGUCUUUAGGAAGGCUCUUAAUUCUCUCUUCUUCUUCCUUUUCUCUAGCCUAUAUAUCUUUAAGUUUGGCUAGCAUUCUUAUGUUCUCAUUAAUUUGGACUUGGAUAGCAUUCGUGGGUGUGGUGUUCAUUUCCUCAAGCGGGGAAGUUCUAAUUUUAAGCAUAUCUACAUCAUGAGCUAUGUUGUCCACCUUCAAAGAGAGACUAUCUAAUUUUUCUAGUUUCUCUUCUACACUCUUGUUGAAGGCUUUUUGGGAGGUUAUAAAAUAUUUAAGCAUGCUCUCUAAUUCAGAAGUUGAGUUUUUGGUGCUAGGAUAAUUGUUAUUGUUCCCAUAGUUGUUGGAUGGGAACGGUCUAGGAUUGCUACCAAACUUACUCCUAUAAGCAUUGUUAUUGAAGUUGUUCCUAGAAAUAAAAUUAACAUUCACUAGCUCUCGUUCUUGAGCAACCAAAAAAUUUAAAGGAACAUCAUGAGGAUCAAUGGGAGCUUUCUUUGUAAGUAGAGUCAUGAUCAUGUCAACCUUAUCAUUAGGGGAGGAGAUCUCCUCAACAGAGUUUACCUUCCUACCUGUUGGAGCUCCCUCGGUGUGCCAUUGAGAAUAAUUUGUCAUAAUCUCAUCCAAUAGCUUUGUGGCAGCACCAAGUGUAGUUGACAUAAAGGUCCCUCCCGCGAUCGAGUCUAACAGAUUCCACGAGGUAAACUUCAAUCCUGCAUAGAAAGUUUGGAUAACCAUACAAGUAGUCAAACCAUGUGUAGGGAAAUUUUUAACUAGAGAUUUUAUACGUUCCCAAGCUUGAGCAACAUGUUCAUUAUCCAAUUACCUAAAAUUCAUAAUGUUACUCGUCAACUGGAUAAUCUUAGCAGGCAGUAAUACUUCCCAAUAAAAUCAUCUUUGCACUUAUCCAAAGAAUCUAUGCUACUCCUAGGCAAAUAUUGAAGCCACACUUUAGUUCCUCCUCUCAAGGAGAAAGGAAAAAAGCUUAAGUUUAACAAUAUCACUAUCUACUUCUUUAUAUUUUUGCAUAUCACACAACUCAACAAAAUUGUUUAAGUGCAAGGCAACAUCAUCUCCAGCACCGAAGAAUUGAUCUUUCAUAACUAGGUUUAGUAAAGCAGGUUUAAUCUCAUAGGACAUGGCUCUAGUGGCGGGAGAAGCAAUAGGAGUGCAGAUAAAGUCAUUGUUGUUGUGACUAGUGAAGUCACACAACUUGGUGUUUUCAAUGGAACCCAUAGCAGCAGCAACAAGCAAGAACAAAGCAACUACUUUUUUUGUGGUUUUUGGUAUAAGACUCUAAAGCAAAGACUAAAAAGUAACUAACAAGACUAAAAAGCAAAGGUAAAAGAUAGCGUUCAACUCCCCUAUUUUGAAGACUACAGUCCUCAGCAACGGCGCCAGAAAUUUUAUGGAUGAUGAAUUGAUGGAUAUACUUCUCGCCCCUCGUUGGUUACCCCAAGUGGAAGGUNNNNNNNNNNAGAUGUAGUCAACAGCAAAUUUCCCUUACACGAAGACUGUAAGGUUUAUCUAACCAAGAGGAUUCCUAGGCUCAACAAGUAGGUGUCUUCCACCAUGGUGCUAGCAAAAGACGUGGACCUGCGCACACAACAAAUAACUUUGCUCCCAACGAGUUCAGAGAGGUUGUCAAUCUCUCUGGCCUUGCAGUUUGCAAAUGAUCAAAACACAAGCGGGAAAGUAAUAGUGAUUGCAAGGGAAAAGUAAAUGAAAGCGGUAAAUCAUGGAGGUUUAAACAAUGAUGGUGAUAUGGACCGGAGUCACAUGAUGUUCACUAUUGAUGUCUCUCUCCCAAAAGACGAUAAACAACUAUGCUUGGGUAAACAAAUAACAGUUGGGGAAUUGACAAAAUUAUGAUCGCACCGCAAUGCUAAUUAUGCUACUUGAUAGUUAGAGGUUCAAUAAUAAUGGGCAGUAUGCCAAGACAACUAGAGCGUUUAUUCAUCGACAUCUACUUACUAAUAAUCUACCUUGAGAUAUCUAUCCAGAACAUCUCUCUAGUAUUAAGUUGCGAGCCCCACCCAAAGUGUAAACUCAAAGCAACGGACAACUGCACUAACGAACUAUGCGUAAGGUAAACAAUCCUUGCAACCAUGGUCACAAGCACCGUUGUUUUCUCCCUGGUGGCAACAAGCAUACCCCCUAGUCUCAUGUUUCUGUCACUCAAGCUAGACAUCGAGGGGCAUGAACCCACAAUCAUGCAUAACGCUCCCUCUUGGAGUUACAAUCUAAUCCUCGGCCAAAGCAAUAAAUAGCAACGGAGAACAUGCACGAAUCACUAAGGAACAUAAUAUAAAAGGAUAAUCAAAUAUAUAACUCAUAACAAUUUGAACAUAAUCUCAUAAUCCGUAGGAUCCCAACAAACGGAGCAUAGCAAUAGCGAGAGAAUUAUAUAGAUGCCUUGAUCAUGUAGGGCACCUCACAAGGACUAACCAUUGAAGCACAAGAUUGGAGAGAAGACAUCACAUAGCUACUGGUCAUGGACUCAUGGUCCAAGGAGGACUACUCACGGCACGUCCGGGAAGCGUCCAUGGCGGUGGAGAAGCACCCAGAGGUCAAUUCUCCCUCCGACAGGGUCCCGGGAAGAGGUCUCCUGACGCUCCCGAUAACAGAAGCGUUGCGGCGGGGAAACGAUGGAGAAAUUUGCGAUUCCAGAAGUUAUUGAAGGGUUUCCUCUCGGGACUCUAAAUAUAGGCCUAAGGACUGCACAGGAGGAGGUGGGACCCACGUAGGCGGCCUCCUGGUGCGGCCUAGGGCCUGGUCGUGCAACCAGGUCGCCUAGGAGGCCCGUGGCCCCCCUCUGGCCCAUCUUCGGUGAUCCUGAAGCUUCUGUUUCACUGAUUUUUUAUAUAUAUUUUCCGGAUUUUUUCUUGCUUCAGAAAAUUGGGUAAAAGCCCCUGCAAAAUAGACAUCAGCACACAGAAACUCGCGCUGGGUGCACUGAGUUAGUAGGUUAGUCCAAAUAUUUGUGAAAUGAUAUAGAAGUGUAGCAAAACAUAUAACAAUGUCACCCAAAAGAUCAUGGAACAUGCAGAACUUAUAGAUACGUUUGGGACGUAUCACUGACCAUCAACACUUGAUGCUCUUUCCGGAUUUUUGACUGAGCGACUUUCAGCAUCGCAAAUAACUCGCCGGGUGCCUUGUUCAUCCCUUGCAUGUUUAUAGUUCAACAUGAAGCUCUUGUAGCUAGGUGGCAGUGAUUGAAGAAUUCUGUCAGUGAUAGCUUCUUGCGGGAGAACAAUCCCCAGCUCAGCUCGACGAUUUGAGUACGGAGAGAUUUUGAGCACAUGUUCACUGACAGACAAAUUCUCCUCCAUUUUGCAACUAUAGAAUUUAUCGGAGGUCUCAUACCUCUCGAUUCGAGCAUUCUUCUCAAAGAUAAACUUCAACUCCUGGAACAUCUCAUAUGCUCCAUGACGUUCAAAACAUCGUUGAAGUCCCAGUUCUAAGCCGUACAAAACUGCACAAUGAACUAGUGAGUAGUCACCCUUACGAGCUUGCCAAGCGUUCAAAACAACUUGGUCAGCCGUAGCGGGUGGUUCACCUCCUAGCGCUGCAUCAACAACAUAAUUCUUUUGCCCAGCUUGAAGGAUAAGCCUCAGAUUUUGAUCCCAGUCUACAAAGUUGCUACCAGCAUCUUUCACCUUAGCUUUCUCUAGGAACGUAUUGAAAUUCAGGGUUGCUACUGCACGAGCCAUUGAUCUACAACAUAAUUUUUUUGCAAAUAUUACUUAGACUAUCUUCAAGACAAUUGAGUUUAGAUAAUCAUAUUACUAAUAAACUCCCAUUGAAAUAGACAUCCCUCUAGUUAUUCGAGUGUCGCAUGAUCCAAAUUCACUAACUCAAGUCCGAUCAUCACGUGAGUUGAGCAUAGUUUCAGUGGCGAACAUCUCCAUGUUGAUCAUAUCUACUAUAUGAUUCAUGAUCGACCUUUCGGUCUCUUGUGUUCCGAGGCCAUGUAUGUACAUGCUAGGCUCGUCAAGUUUUACCCGAGUGUUCCGCCUGUGCAACUAUUUUGCACUCGUUGUAUGUGAAGGUUGCGUCUAUCACACCCGAUCAUUACGUGGUGUCUCGAAAUGACGAACUGUCGCAAUGGUGCACAGUUGGGGAGAACACAAUUUUAGUGAGGGAUCACCUUAUAAUGUUACUGUCCUUCUAAGCAAAAUAAGGUGCAUAAAAGGAUUAACAUCACAUGCAAUUCAGAAGUGACAUGAUAUGGCCAUGAUCUUGUGCUUCUUGAUCUCCAUCACCAAAGCACUGACAUGAUCUUCAUCGUCACCGGCUCCACACCAUGAUAUCCAUCAUCAUGAUCUCCAUCAUUGUGUCGCCAUCGAGAGUGUCGUGCUAUCUAUGCUAUUACUACUAAAGCUACAACCUAGCGAUAUAGUAAAGACAUCUGCAAGCACAAAUGUUAGUUUAAAGUCAACCCUAUGGCUCCUGCCGGUUGCCGUAGCAUCGACGUGCAAGUCGAUAUUUAACUAUUACAACAUGAUCAUCUCAUACAUCCAAUAUAUCACACCAUGUCUUUGGCCAUAUCACAUCACAUGCAUACCCUGCAAAAACAAGUUAGACGUACUCUAAUUUGUUGUUGCAUGUUUUACGUGGCUGCUAGCACUACUAGGGAAAACCCUAGUAGUAGCGCUGGUUUUACCCUUACUAGUAGCGCUGGGGCCAGCGCUAGUGCUAACGCGCUACUGCUAACACUUAUCAGUAGCGCUGGAUUGAAAGCGCUACUGGUACCUACGUUAGCCGUAGUGCUGGAAUAAAUAGAGCGCUACUCCUAAGCCAGCGCUCACUACUGGAAUCCGGUUCUUUGCCGUCAGCCAGUUCUUUGCCGUCUGCUGGCUGAUGGGAAAGAACCUCUUUGCCGUCAGUUGACACAAGGCAGACGACAAAGGGCUGACUGAUGGCAAACAUACUAUUUGCCAUGUGUAGGCCCUUUGCCGUCUACCAGCGGACGACAAAGAGACCCAGGGUAGACGGAAAAGAGGACGGGUGGGUCCCAUGCCUACCGUGUCUGACAGAAGGCAAACUUUGCCAUCUGGGGGCCUUUGCCGUCCGCCAUGGGGCCCUUUGCCGUCGGGGGGCGGACGGAAAAGGGGUCGACCCUAUAACGGCCGUCAACCCCCUCCUCGCUCACUGUCUCUCUCUCCCCCCCGGCCACUGUCUCUCUCCCCUCACCCACUUGCCCCCGCCGCCCUCCCUCCUUGCAGCCCCCUCCCCCUUGCAGCCCUCCUCCNNNNNNNNNNNNNNNNNNNNNNNNNNNNNNNNNNNNNNNNNNNNNNNNNNNNNNNNNNNNNNNNNNNNNNNNNNNNNNNNNNNNNNNNNNNNNNNNNNNNUGUAUAUGUGUUGAAUGGUGGGGCAGUGAGCUGGUGCAGCAGCAAGCAAGAAGUCGUGGCAGCAUCUACAUGUGAAGCGGAGUACGUAGCUGCUUCAGAAGCAGCUCAUGAAGGAAUUUGGAUGAAGGAGCUCAUCACCGACCUUGGAGUGGUUCCAAGCGCGUCGGGUCCUAUGACACUCUUCUGUGAUAACACUGGAGCCAUUGCCAUAGCCAAGGAGCCCAGGUUUCACCGGAAGACGAAGCACAUCAAGCACCGCUACAACUCCAUCCAGGACCAUGUCCAGAGUGGAGUGAUAGAUAUUUGUAAAGUACACACGGAUCUGAAUAUUGCAGACCCGUUGACUAAACCACUUCCACGAGCAAAACAUGAUCAGCACCAUAAUGCUAUGGGCGUUCAAUACAUCACAAUGUAACUAGAUUAUUGACUCUAGUGCAAGUGGAGACUGUUGGAAAUAUGCCCUAGAGGCAAUAAUAAAAUGGUUAUUAUCAUAUUUCCUUGUUCAUGAUAAUCGUCUAUCGUUCAUGCUAUAAUUGUAUUAACAGGAAACAGUAAUACAUGUGUGAAUGAAUAGAUCACAAUGUGUCCCUAGCAAGCCUCUAGUUGGCUAGCUCGUUAGUCAAUAGAUGAUCAUGGUUUCCUGAUCAUGGACAUUGGAUGUCAUUGAUAACGGGAUCACAUCAUUGGGAGAAUGAUGUGGUGGACAAGACCCAAUCCUAAGCCUAGCACUAGAUCGUAUUGUUCGUAUGCUAAUGCUUUUCUAAUGUCAAGUAUCUUUUCCUUCGACCAUGAGAUUGUGCAACUCCCGGAUACCGUAGGAGUGCUUUGGGUGUAUCAAACGUCACAACGUAACUAGGUGACUAUAAAGGUGCACUACGGGUACCUCCGAAAGUGUCUGUUGGGUUGGCACGAAUCGAGAUCGGGAUUUGUCACUCCGUGUGACGGAGAGGUAUCUCUGGGCCCACUCGGUAGAACAUCAUCACGAGCUCAAUGUGACUAAGGAGUUAGUCACACGAUGACGUGCUACGGAACGAGUAAAGAGACUUACCGGUAAUGAGAUUGAACAAGGUAUAGGUAUACCGACGAUCGAAUCUCAGGCAAGUUCUAUACCGACAGACAAAGGGAAUUAUAUACGGGAUUGAUUGAAUCCUUGACAUCGUGGUUCAUCCGAUGAGAUCAUCGUGGAUCUAGUGGGAGCCACCAUGGGUAUCCAGAGCCCGCUGAUGGUUAUUGGCCAGAGAGGUGUCUCGGUCAUGUCUACCUGUCUCCCGAACCCGUAGGGUCUACACACUUAAGGUUCGAUGACGCUAGGGUUAUAGGGAAUUGUUAUACGAGAUUACCAAAAGUUGUUCGGAGUCCCGGAUGAGAUCCCGGACGUCACGAGGAGCUCCGGAAUGGUCCGGAGGUAAAGAUUGAUAUAUAGGACGGAUGGUUACGGACACUGGAAGUGUUUCGGGCAUCACCGGUAACGUACCGGGACCACCGGGACCACCGAAGGGGGGUGACGACCCCGGGAGGCUAGAUGGGCUAAGUGGGGAAGGGAACCAGCCCCUAAGUGGGCUGGUGCGCCCCCACCCAGCCCAUGUGCACCAGAAAAAAGGGGAAGGGGGGAACCCUAACUAAGGUGGGCCUUAGGCCCACCAGAGGGGUGCGCCACCCCUCCUCCUUGCCCUGGCCGCCACUCCCCCCAUCUGGGAGGGCUGCCGCACCCCCUAGGGUGGGAACCCUAGGGUGGCACCCCCUCUCCCCUUCCCCUGUAUAUAGUGGGCACUUUUGGCCUUUGGAGGACACGUUUUUCCCUCUCCCUCGGCGCAGCCCUGCACUUCUUCCUCCUCCUCUCUGCCGGCGCUUGGCGAAGCCCUGCCGGGAGACCUCGUCUCUCCACCAACACCAUGCCGUCGUGUUGCUGGUCUUCUUCCCCAACCUCUCCCUCCUCCUUGCUGGAUCAAGGUGCGGGAGACGUCACCGGGCUGCACGUGUGUUGAACGCGGAGGUGCCGUUGUUCGGCACUAGAUCAGAAUCGCUGCGAGUACGACUCCAUCAACCGCGUUCUAGCAACGCUUCCUCUUAGCGAUCUUCAAAGGUAUGAAGAUGCUCUUACCCCUCUCUCGUUGUUGGUCUCCCCAUAGGAAGAUCUGAACAUGCGUAGGAAAAUUUUGAAUUUAUGCUACGUUACCUAACAAAUACGUCGCCCCGACGACACUUACCCCCAAUCCCAACCCCUCUUCGGCCCCCUGUUGACUGAUAAGGUGCUCUUUGGCCAUCGAGAAGCCACCGGUGGUGGAGCUCACCAGGAGAAUGGUCGGAGAGGCAGAGACGUGAGGUCUCCGGAACCGAAAGAGAUGAUGUGUUAACCCUAUGACCGUGCUUCGCCAUACCUGAGGGCAUCGAGGACGAGCGAGUUAGGGGGUUCCUCAGCAUCGAUGGAACCCUAAAUGACAUCUAUAUAGUUCAUAUAUUUGUGUUAGGUCAAACAUUUUUGGAUUUUAUUUACGAACACAAAAUAUUUGUGUUGAUAAGGUGGAUUUACAUGUGCAGUGUUCUCGUCUGUUGUUCGAAGACCUCCCCCUGUGUUCGACGAGCUCCACCCCUACGUUCGUGGGUGAGUACAAAUGAAAUCUCCUCCUCGCCCCUUAUUUUGCUAUGGCUCGGUCUUCGAAUGAAACAUCCUAGAUAUAGGUACAUUAAAUUAUCAGUAUGCGUGACCAGUAUGCGUCUCAUGUUCGAAAGGGUUAUAGUUAUAAAUAUGCAUGCAUUUUCAUAUAUUUCUAACUGUGAUUCUUCCGAAUUGUACAACGUUAUCCAUGGACAACCCGAGUAUGUGUAGAUUGGGUAUGUUUUCCCAUAUGCUUUGCUUCGGAUCGGAUGCAUAAUUUCGUCAGUCAUCCCUAUUGUUCUCCGGAUACACAUCCUCUCUGUUUAUUGCCAAGACGUGUAUCAUGAGAACAGCGGGGAGGUGCUGCCGAAAUUUUGUGUUGGAUCUGGAGCAAAGCAUGGGAAAACAAACCCAAUCUACACAUACUCAGGUGGCAUUAGGACCUAUCUUUACCUAUUAGCGUGUAGGUUGCAUGGAUAUAAUAAAACUGGUGAACUUGAUUAACUGAAUAACAUAUAUGCUGAAUUAUAUAUAUAUAUAUNGGAUCUGGAGCAAAGCAUGGGAAAACAAACCCAAUCUACACAUACUCAGGUGGCAUUAGGACCUAUCUUUACCUAUUAGCGUGUAGGUUGCAUGGAUAUAAUAAAACUGGUGAACUUGAUUAACUGAAUAACAUAUAUGCUGAAUUAUAUAUAUAUAUAUUUCUUGUGUGUUUAGUAGCUAGGCAAGAUGAGUGGUCGUGCGUGGAUGUACACCGGUGUUGUCUUGUUUGAUUGCAGACCUUCUACAGGUGUGAGGAGGGAUAUGAUGAGGCGGCGGCUAAUGUUCUCGAGGCCGAGUGCGGGCGGCUAUUACAGAACUUGCGCCAUGAGGCUCGGCCACACGCUAUUCGAGACUACUAUGCCACGCGUGGUGUUAAGAAGGAGAAGAACGACUUCCGCGGAAAGUAUCUGAAGAAGAGCAGUACAUGUAGGUAAUUUCCUAUUCUUAAGGCCUUGUACGUAGCUUUCUUUAUUUGAUUUGUAGGCGUAGCGUUCAAAAUUCUUUUUACUAACUUAUAGGAGCCCUGAGAUGGUGUGCCAAUAAGAUGGAUUGUUGGGAGGAGUUGGUGGAUGAGUGGUGCACACGCAACUGGCGAGCUGUGCACGACAAAGCAAAGGAGAGGCGUGCCCAAAUGGUUGGUGUGCCACAUCAUCAAGGCAGCGCCAACUUAAUUUAGUUCAGACGGAACUGGGUAUGCGGUUUGCUUCCUUAUUCAUGCAAUUAGUUCUUCAUGCUAGCUUGAGGCCUUACUAAUACUUUGUUCCUCUCUUUUAGGCGCAUCACAAUAAGACGUAGGUGCCUGAGUUGUAUGACCUUCAUGGUAUGGCCCAUACUGCCUCCUACAAGAAGGCUAAGGCAUUCUCUGAGUCUGACCUGGAUCCUCCAGAGAUGGUCACCAACAUCUCCUCCCACCACAAGCUCAUGAAAUACAGGGACGUGGGGAAGGCUAGGAAAGGGGAGGACUUUAACCCAAGCCAGGAACCUUUGGAUCGAGAGCUGGUGAUGAUAUCUGGCGGCGGGAGGCCCCAUGGCUCUAUAUGCAUUGGAUAUGUGAUAAUAUGUUGUCCACUCACUCUCACGGAGAUCAAGGAGCGCUAGUCAAGCUCCUGUCCUGCGAUAACACCUCAUCCACGGACGGUCGAUCUCGCCAUCGAGGUCAGUUGUACGGACUCACAGAACUUUCAUCCAUUUCAUUGUGUGUGUGGCCAUUGAUUAUUAUAGUGGUAAUGAGGAAUGGUGUUGCAGGUUGCUCUUCAAAAAGAGAGAGCUUCAAACCAGGAUGCUCUUGAUAAAGAGAGAGUUGCAACGAGGCUUCUCUUCAGGAUGCUCUUGAGGAGAGGGACCGGAACACAACUCGAUUGUUGGAGGAGGAGAGGGCCCGGAAUGAGGCAGGUCACCUCGCCAUGUACGAGCUUAUUGUGUUAAGUUCCUAUUUCACAUUACCCAAAUCAUGCGUGUAAUGUCGGUUUCAUUAGUAAGUAAUAUGACCGACUCUUCAAAAACAAAUGUGAAGUCUUUGUGCGAGAAGACCGGUCAGCCCCCUCCAUCGAUGGUUGUCUUUUCUGCGAUUGGCAUAGUGAGUUUCAUUUCAAUGGUCAUUAUAAACUACUAUUAACAUUUGAGUGUCGUCAUGCUAAAGAGAAAUUGCAAAAUAUCUUUUCUACAGAAUAAUUCCCGAGCGGCAUCACACGACCCUUCUCCAGGUAACCUUCUCCAAACGCAACAGACCCGAGCAGCCCUGGUGCUUCUCCUAGAUGACGACGAAGGUAAGUUUUCUCUAGUUCAUUUAUGACAUAAUUAGCUAAUUUAGCUCCAAAAUGAUGUAAUUAGCUAAUUUCUCCCCUUUCUUCUUCUCCUCAGCUUAUUUUCCCAACAAAGACAUAAUUAGCUAAUUAUCCUCCAAAAUGACAUAAUUUGCUACUUUAGGUCCAAAAAUGACAUAAUUAGCUUUCUUAGGUAAAAAUAUCAAAAGAACCUUUGUUAGCUCGUAACUUAGCGUAUCUUCCUCCUAAAUGACAUACUAAGAUUUUCCUCCUAAAUGACAUAUCCUUUUCCUCUCCUUCUUCUUCUCCUCCUUUUCCUCGGGUCUUAUCCUUAGCUUAUUUUCCCCAACAAUGACAUAAUUAGCUAAUUUAGCUCAAAAAUGACAUAAUUAGCUAGUUUAGCUCCAGGAAGACAUACUUAGCUAAUUUAUUUCCAAAAUGACGUAAUUAGCUAAUUUAGCUUCAAAAAUACAUAGUUAGCUAAUUUAGCUCCAAGAAGAGGAGAAGAGGAGAAGAAAGAGGAAAAAUUAAAAGAAGGAAGAAGAAGAAAAAGAAGAGAAGAAUAAAAGAAGAAGAAGGNNNNNNNNNNNNNNNNNNNNNNNNNNNNNNNNNNNNNNNNNNNNNNNNNNNNNNNNNNNNNNNNNNNNNNNNNNNNNNNNNNNNNNNNNNNNNNNNNNNNNNNNNNNNNNNNNNNNNNNNNNNNNNNNNNNNNNNNNNNNNNNNNNNNNNNNNNNNNNNNNNNNNNNNNNNNNNNNNNNNNNNNNNNNNNNNNNNNNNNNNNNNNNNNNNNNNNNNNNNNNNNNNNNNNNNNNNNNNNNNNNNNNNNNNNNNNNNNNNNNNNNNNNNNNNNNNNNNNNNNNNNNNNNNNNNNNNNNNNNNNNNNNNNNNNNNNNNNNNNNNNNNNNNNNNNNNNNNNNNNNNNNNNNNNNNNNNNNNNNNNNNNNNNNNNNNNNNNNNNNNNNNNNNNNNNNNNNNNNNNNNNNNNNNNNNNNNNNNNNNNNNNNNNNNNNNNNNNNNNNNNNNNNNNNNNNNNNNNNNNNNNNNNNNNNNNNNNNNNNNNNNNNNNNNNNNNNNNNNNNNNNNNNNNNNNNNNNNNNNNNNNNNNNNNNNNNNNNNNNNNNNNNNNNNNNNNNNNNNNNNNNNNNNNNNNNNNNNNNNNNNNNNNNNNNNNNNNNNNNNNNNNNNNNNNNNNNNNNNNNNNNNNNNNNNNNNNNNNNNNNNNNNNNNNNNNNNNNNNNNNNNNNNNNNNNNNNNAUAUAUAUAUAUAUGUGCUAUGGGCUCUUUGCCGUCCGUGGAACACACAUUUGCCGUAUGCUAUGGCAGAAGGCAAAGUGUCAGAUUUCUAUAGUGACACACAACCUUUCCUCAAGGAAACCGUAAAGGAAAUGAUGGUUUGACAUGCAUCUUCCCGAUUUCAUAAUUAAAGAAUGCAGCAACUUCUAACAUGAUUUCAGCAAACUUUAGCAUCACUAUGGGCGAGAAAGUCUCAUCAUAGUCAACUCCUUGAACUUGUAGGAAUCUCCUUGUGACAAGUCUAGCUUUAUAAAUGGUGACAUUUACCAUCAUCAUGUGUAUUCCUAUUAAAGGUCCAUUUUUUCAGAAUAGCCUUUUGACCAUCUGUAAUACUUCCAAAGUCCACACUUUGUUUUCAUACACAGAUCCUAUCUCAGAUUUCAUGGCCUCUAACAAUUUGUCGAUAUCCGAGCCCACCAUCGCUUCUCCAUAGCUCAUAGGUUUAUUAUUGUCCAACAACAUGACCACCAAGACAUGAUUACCGUACCACUCAGGAGCAGUAUGUGUCCUUGUCGACCUAUGAGGUUCGAUAGUAACUUGAUCUGAAGCUUCAUGAUCACCAUCAUUAGGUUCCUCUUCAGAUGGUGUAGGCACCACAGGAACAUCUUCAUGCGCCAUUCUACUCUCCGGUUGAAGUGUCGGUUCAACAAACUCAUCAAGUUCUAUCUUCCUCCCAAUCAAUUCUUUCGAGAGGAACGCUUUCUUGAUAAAGGACUCGUUCUUAGCAACAAACAGUUUGCCCUAGGAUAUGAGAUAGAAGGUAUACCCAAAUGUUUCCUUCGAGUAUGCUAUGAAGAUGCACUUCUCCGCUUUGGGUUCGAGCUUAUCAGGCUAUAGCCUUUUGACAUAAGCAUCAUAGCCCCAAACUUUUAAGAAGUGGAAGCUUAGGUUUAUUUUCAAACCAUAAUUCAUAUGGUGUCGUCUGAACGGACUUAGAUGGUGCCCUAUUUAAAGUGAAUGUGUUUGUCUCUUAUGCAUAACCCCAAAACGAUAGUGGAAAUCAGGAAGAGACAUCAUAGCACGCACCGUAUCCAAUAGAGCACGGCUACGACGUACGGGCACACCAGCAAACUAUGGUAUUCUACGUGGCAUGAGUUGUGAAAUACUUUCCACAUUGUCUUAAAUGUAUAUCGAACUCGUAACUUCGAUAGUCACCUCCAUGAUCACAUCAUAGACAUUUUAAAUUCUUGUCAUGACAAUCUUCAACUUCACUCUCAAAUUGCUUAAACUUUUCAACAUUUCAGUCUUGUGAUUCAUCAAGUAAAUAUACCCGUAUCUACUCAAAUCAUUUGUGGAGGGGCAAUUGAUUUUAUGCCCCUAGUUGGGUCACACUCGGCAUGUUUACCCCUAGUUUCCAAAAACACUUGAUUCCGCCCAAACCACUUCGCUUCUCUUAUGCUUUUGCCCUUUGACCAUUUGACCGUCACUUUAAAAUUUUCACAAUGAAUUCAUACUAACUCAGAAAAGUUCAAAUAUAUCAAAAUGUUCAGAAAAACAUCACCUAUAUGUGCAUGGCAUCUGCAUUCUUGACAAACAUGUUGGAAAGUCGACAUCAUCGAUGAUAGCUCCAACUCAGAUGAGGACUUUCGAGCAUUUUUGUUACAAAUGUGAAUGGCGUGCACAUAUAGGUGAUGUUCCUCUGAACAUUAUGACAUCUUAUUUGAAUUGUUCUGAGUUAGUAUGAAAUUUUUAUGAAAUUUUCAAAGUGAUGGUCAAACGGUCAAAGGGCAAAAGCAUAAGAGGAGCGAAGUGACUUGGGAAGAACCAGGUUUUUUUUUUUGAAAAUUAGGGGUAAAACUGCCGAGUGAGAAACAACUAAGGGCGCCAAAUUAAUUCUGCCAUUUGUGAAGUAAGAAAAUAACAAUAUCCCUUACGUGCUUCAACACUUAUUAGACCGCAUACAUCAAAAUGUAUUAUUUCCAAUAAGUCACUUUCCUGCUCCAUCAUACUAGAAAACGGGGUCUUUAGUCAUCUUCCAAAGAGGCAUGGUUCGCAUGUCUCAAGCGAUUCAUAACCGAGUAAGUCCAAAGAUCCACCAGCACGGAGUUUGUUCUUGUGUUUUUACACCAAUAUGAGCUAAGUAGCAGUGAUACAAACAUGUGGUACUAUCAUCAUUAACUUUGCAUCUUUGGGCAUCAAUGUGAGGAACAUGUGUAUCAUUAUGUUUGUGAUUGAAUAAACUAUCCACAUCAGGUGCAUGAUCAUAAAAUAUAUUAUUCAUGUAAAGCAACAGAAUUACCCAUUAUUCUCUAACUUACAUGAAUAAUCAUCUCGCAAUAAACAAAAUGAAUAUUAUGUUCAUGAUCAACGUAGACACCAAAUAACAUUUUUUUAGGUUUAUCACUAAUCCCGAAGGUAGAUUUAGCAUGUCAUGGUGAUCACAUCAACCUUGGAAACAAUUCCAACACACAUCGUCACCUCACCUUUAGCUAGUGUCUGUUUAUUCCGCAACUCCUGUUUUGAGUUACUAAUAUUAGCAACUAAAUAGGUAUAAAAUACCCAUGGGCUACAACGAGCACUAGUAAGGUACACAUCAAUAAGAUGUAUAUCAAAUAUACUUUUGUUGACAUUGCCAGCCUUCUUAUGUGCCAAGUAUCUGGGGCAAUUCCGCUUCUAGUGACCGCUCCCCUCAUAACCAAAGCACCCAGUCUCGGGUUUGGGUUCAACCUUGCGUUCUUCACUGGAGCGACAGCUGGCUUGUCAUCCUCAAAGUUUCCCUUAUUACCCUUACCCUUCUUGAAACUAGUGGUUUUACUAACCAUCAACACUUGAUGCUCCUUCUUGAUUUCUACCUUCACGUUGUCAAACAUCGUGAAUAGCUUAGGGAUCAUAUUCUCCAUCCCUGGCAUGCUAUAGUUCAUCAUGAAGCUCUAGUAGCUUGGUGGCAGUGACUUGGAGAAAUAUCUUAAUCACUAUCUUAUCUGGAAGAUCAACUCCCACUUGAUUCAAGCGAUUGUAGCACCCAGAAAACCAGAGCACAUGCUUGAUAAUCCCCAAGUUCAAUCAUCGUAGCACUUUCCAAAGAUGGAAGUGGUAGGUAUGGAGUGUCGAACCCACAAGAAGCUAAAGGUAAGAUCAAUAUUCUCUCAAGUCUCAUCUUCCACCUAUACGACUCUACAUACACCGAACAUUUGCUACUAUCUAGUAACGAGAAAUAAAACAUCGUUGUGGGUAUAAAGAGGAUAGCUUACAAUAUAUUACAAAUAGCGACUUUGGAAUAAUGAUGGUAUGUUGUGUGGAAUCAUCUUGGCAAUUGAUAACAAGAUCGGUAAUCAUUCUUGCAAUUUUAUAUGAGGGAGAGGCAUGAGCUAACAUAGUUUUCGUGCUUGGGUCAUAUGAACUUAUGACUGCAUCUCUAGCAACUAUCCGCCACUACUAGAAAUCAUUAAGGUAAAACAAACCAUAGCAUUAAACAUCAGGUCCCGUUUACUCCCAUACGUAAACAACCCCAUUACUCGGGUGUAAGCUUCUGUCACUCUAGCCACCCACUAUAAGUGUAUCAUGAACAAAUUGCAACACCCUCCAGUGUGAAUCCCUCACAUGUGCGCCUCAUGGAAGGCACCUUAGGACAAUACAAAAAUAAAACGUACAAUCAAACCAAUCAAGAUCAUCAAUCAACCCAAAGGACAACAUAGACCUAUUCAAACAUCAUAGGAUGGCAACACAUCAUUCAUUAAUAAUAUUUGCAUGAAACACCAUGUUCAAGUAGGGUAUUACAAUGGUGUGCGUAAGAGUGGACCAAUGAAAAGAUAUGAGGAAGGUGAUUAAGACGGUAAUGAUGAUGAAGAUGAUCACCGCAGCAAUGGCUCCCUUGGCAGCACUUCGGUGCCGCCGGAAGAGAGGGGGAGAGAGUCUCCCCCCUUAAGCAUUCUCCUCCAUGGCCUCUCCCCAUCGAGGGAAAGGAUCUCCUUGUGUUCCUCGGCCGCCAUGGCUCCUGGAGGGGUGAGAGCCCCUCCGAGAUUGGAUCUCUCUCCCUCUCUAUUUCUCUGGUGUUUUUGCUGCUAUUUUGUGGCCCUUCACCGUUUCUUAAAUAUCCGGGGAUCUGUAAAUCCGAUUGGGCUGAAAUUUUGAAGGGAUUUUUAUUAGGAAAAAAUAUUUCCUGCGGUGAAAGAAGGGCCCCAACCUACUUAAGGGGUGGCCACAAGACAUCAGCGCGUGACCACCCCCCUAGUCGCGCCAUGUUGGCUUGUGAGAGCCUCGGGCAACGUGCGACGUUGAUUCUUCUUCCCAAAAUUCACAUAUAUUCCAAAACAAAUCUUCAUAAAUUGGUAUCACGUUUUUACUCCAUUUGAUAUGGAUUUUCUACAAAACAAAAUACACACAAAAAACACGAAGUGGCACUAGGCACUGGAUAUGUAAGUUAGUCCUAGAACAUAAUAUAAAAUGUUGCCAAAAGUAUAUGAAAGUUGUAGAAUAUUGGCAUGAAUACUUUGUAAAUUAUCGAUACAUUGAAGACGUAUAAGCAUCCCCAAGCUUAAUUCUUGCUCGUCCUCGAGUAGGUAAAUGGUAAAAGAAAUAAUUUAUGAAGUGUGAAUGCUAGCAUAGUAUACAAGUUUGACCAGUGUUACGCCCAAUCACUUUUUCUAGCAUUAUAAAACAUCAACUCUGUUCUCAUAGAACUUCUCAUGAUCAACUAACAAGUUAAACACAUGUUAAAGUCUUGACAAUAAACUUUCCUGAAAACUUGCAAACUAUGUUUUCAGUCAUCAAACAAUUACAAUUCAUCUAAUUUUCCCGAAGGCUGUAGGAUCGAAACUAUGUCUAGAGGGGGUGAUUAGACUACCUGAUAAGAUAAUUUUUUUGCCUUUUCCUAAUUUUACUUGAGAGGCAACUACGACAGUUAUGAUAAGUCAAAUACACCAUACACUUGCAGUUCUAAUAGUACAGCAGUGGAAAGCAAACAUGCAAGUGUAAAUAGAGGAGUAAGGAAGGGAGAUCAAACACAUAAGGUUGACACGGCGAUUUUUGGCAUUGUUCCGAUAGGUGGCGCUAUCGUGUGUCCAUGUUAGUGGAGAAUUCAACCCACAGAGGGUAACGUCUGUAAGAGUCCACGGAGGGCUCCACCCACGGAGGGUCCACAAAGAACCAGCCUUGUCUAUCCCACCACGACUUCUGUCCACGAAGGACUAGCCUUACUAACAGUAGAUCUUCACGAAGUAGGCGAUCUCCUUGGCCUUACAAACAUCUUGGUUCAACUCCACAAUACGAAGUAAGAGGCUCCCAAGAGACACCUAACCAAUCUAGGAGGAACCACCCUACAAAAGGUAAUAGAUGGGGUAGAUCAAUGAACUGCUUGCUCUUGUGCUUCUAAAGAUAGUCUCCUCAACACAAAUCUCUCUCUCACAGAAUAUGCAUGGGUAGGAGAGGUUGAUUUGGUGGAAAGCAGUUUGGGGAGGCUAGAGAUGAAGAUUCAAAUGAUUGGAUUGGACUAUCUUGGUCUCAACACAUGAGUAGGUGGUUCUCUCUCAGAAACUGGAUCUGGAAAUGAAGUGUGUGUUCUGAGUGCUUCUCCAACGAAUGAGAGGUGGGUGAAGGGGUAUAUAUAGGCAGCAGCCAAAAUCCAACCAUUACACACAAAAGAGCAAACUCGGUGACACCGAAGUGGACAACUCGGUGGUACCGAUUAGCACUAAAGUGGUGCACUUUUGAAUCUCGGUGAGACCGAUAUAUAGAACUCGAUGGCACCGAAAAGGUGACUCACGGUCUGAUGGCCAAACUCGGUGGCACUGAUACUCAAACUCGGAAAUUCCGAUUUUGUGUAUCUUGGCAAGACAAUGUUUGUCACACUGAACUCGGUAGCAUCGAUGCAGUUUAGGGUGCACCGGUUUGGUGGGAAUGGCUAGGGUUCUGUCUUAGGUUCAAACUCGGUGGGUCCGAUUUGGCAAUGUUGGUGACACCGAAUUAGCGUAUGUGGAACUUGACAGAGUGGAUAUGUGGGAAAAAUGACACAGUGUUGGUGGCUAACUUUGAGCAUUUGAGAAGUCAGUUCAUUUUAAUACCUCACCUUGUUUUAAUAGUAUUGGCUUUCCUAUGGACUCAAAAGUGAUUUCUCACAAAUAUAAAAUGAAGAGUCUUCUAGCUUGAAGCCUGAGCCAAUAUUAUUCCCUUCUUGCAUCUAGGGGCAUCUCCACAUAAACCUUAAGCCAUACCAUCUUUUGAACUUUUCUGAAAUAUACAUGGAAAACACAUUAGUCCAAUGAUGUAGAUGUUGUGAAAAAUUAUCGAAACCACCCUAGGGAGCAAUUGUGCUUUCAAUCUCUCCCUUUUUAGUAAUUGAUGACAACAUAUAGAUCAAAGCUUCAACAAAAUAUAUAAUUAAUGAUUAGCAUCGACGCUUGGACAAGUAUGUGAAAAGCAAGAGCUCCCCCUAAAUUUGUGCAUUAUUUAAAAUUUGUGAUUGAAUGCAAAUGCACAAUAGAUUAGGAUCAUGGGUAACUCUUCCAUGUCACAUACAUCUUGGUGGUGCGUAAAAAUAAUAGCAAUGCACAUGACACAAACAAGAUAAGUGAGUGAUCAUCACAAGGAUAACUAAAAGAUAAUAUUGUAACAUCACACAAGAUAAAGCGUAUGAUCACACACAGAUAGGAUAAAUUCAUCCAUAAACCAAUGUUUUAAAAACAAAUAAGAACAAAUAAAGUCAAAAGCUCUCUCUCACACGAAGUCUAUGAUCUAUACAGUUCUCCCCUUUGGCAACAAGUUACCAAAAAGUUCAAAAGCAUAGAACUACUCGUCUCUCUGGGCAACUGAUAAUACAGGUGGAGGAUUUGAUAUUGAAUGAGCUUGAGCUAGAGUUGGUGCUAAAGGUGUUGAAGCUUGUGCUGAAGAUGUAUGUCUUGUCUCCGGAGCAGGAACAACAAUUGACCAGGGCUGGGUGUUGAACCUUGUGGUAGUGGGAGGAGGAGACUCCUCCUUGUCAUCAUCAUCAUCUUAUUCAUCUUCAUCCUAUGAUCGUGGAAUCUCCAUAGAGUCAACUUCAUGUUGAAGGUAUCUAACAAUGGUGGUCAACUCAGUUACCUUCAUAUCCAUGUUGUGGAAUUUUGUCUCCACAACUCUCUCAAGGUUGUUCUGAUUUUGCAUGAUCUCCUGAAUGUUCUUCCCCAUGCCUUGGACAAUGCUUACUAGAAAGCCAUUUGCUCUGCUUGAGUUCCGAGCUGUGGAACUAUAGGUGGCCUGUUUCUAGCAGCUUCAGCCUCUACUGCCUCUGCUGCCAUUCUUGUUGCAGCUGAGUUGGGAUCAUUGUCAUCCAUCACAACCUCAUUAUCGUCAAAUUCAGGUUGAAGAGGUAGAUGGGGACGGUCAAGUUGAUAUGCAUGCUUGCCUAUCUUGGCAUUGAUGAGCAUAUGCAUAUAAGGUGCAUAUCCACGGGAUCUCUUAUAAUCUGCAUCAGUCCUUUGGAUAGUCUCAGCUAUCAACUCCAUCACUCUAAAUGUGGUAUGGGUAUCAAGUAGGUGCAGCAGGUUGAUUGAAUAUCCUCUGAUCAUCUUCUCAUCUCCUAACUUAGGCAUGAGAGUGUAUCACAAUAUAGUCUUUGUCUUGGGAAUACCAGCUUGCAGAAAAUAUACUGAGCCAAACUUGUGACUGGCCAAGUAAUGAUGUGGAAUGGUCUUUUACAUGUUGUCCACGGAGUUGUGAUUCUGCUUAGCAUCUGCAUACACAUGUACAUCUGCUUCUUCCUGCUUGGGAACACCAAUGAUAGAAGCCCAUUCAGCAAUUGCAGCAUCGUACCUGUGUCCAUUAGUUAUCGAAACUAAAGAGUCAUCAUAGAAAUGAAUUGUUGCGUAGAAUUGCAUGAUCAUCUCGACAUUCCAAGGGGUCAUAUCCUUCCCAACAAAAUCUUCUAUGUCAACUCUAGCCUGAAGUUCUCUUGAACAUGUGGAAAGAAAUUCUCAUUCUUGUCGAUGUAUGCCCAGUCGACAUACCUCAUAUCACUCACAGCAUGACUCUUGUCAUACAAUACAGUCACAUAAAAAUCUUGUUGUUCCUUGGUGUGAAACCUUGGAUCAACAUCAGUUCUUCUUUUUAUAGCAUAUGGAUCAGCAACUCUCCACUUUAUUAAUCCAGUAUCCUUCCUCUUCUUCAUGUCUUCUUCUACAGGAUGAGCAUCAUGUGGAGUGGAAGGUAUGGUCUGAGAUUCCUGAGAACUGGAGCAUUGUCAUCUUCUUCCUCUUCGGCAGCAUGGGCAAUGUAUGCACGACCUUUUCUUUUAGCAGCUGCAGGUAUAUCUUUAGUGGCGUUCCUAGAAGCUACAACCUUCUUUGCUUUAGCAGCAGGCUUUGGAGCAGACUUCAUUGCAUCGCCCAUCAGCUUCUUCUUCUUGGGUGGAACUGGGAUCUCCUCAGGGGCUUCUUGCUCAGCUUCUUCUGAGUCUUCAAACAUAGAAGUCUUUCUGCCAACAAGAUGGAUAGUUAUCUUCCUGGGCCUCUUCACACCAGCCUUCUUUGUAGGUGCUUCCUUGGCAAUAGCUUCGCCCUUCUUGGCAUAAUCAGGUGUUCUCAGAUUAGCAGCACUAGCAGAUAUCUUCCUAACAACUUUGCUUGGAGGAUCCUUAGGAGGGGCUGAAGUUUCUUCUGGCAAAAAUUCCGAGUCUUCCUCAUCGGAAACUAUCUUCCUCCUUUGCGUGGUGGCUGCCUUCAGAAAGCCACGAGAACUUGGACAACUAGGGUCUGAAGCAGUCUUUUCUUGACUGGUGCCGGAGUCCAUCUCGACACUCUGCUCUCUGAAAUCAUUUUGACUAUCAUCUGAACCUGACAUACUGACAUACACUCUGAGCAGCAACCAGCAGAUCAUGUGAAGUGGAUGUAGGAAAGACAAAAUUGAAGAGCAUCACAAAAUUCAGAUAUUUUUUGAAAAUUUAAAGUCUGAAACUCAGGGUAUGAGCUUGUGCAGGAUGUAAAUUGGUGGCACGGAGUCGGCAUUUUUGGAUUCACCAAGAAAACAGACUCACUUAACAGAAACUUGGCAGUCGUUUUCGGUGGCACCGAAAAUAUCUGCUUGUUCUCACCGAGUUGCUUCUGAGGAACCCUAAAACAGGAAUCGGUGGAACCGAUUUUACAAACUCGGUCUCACCGAGUUGCAUUUUGCGGCAUAUCAGAGUUGAAAUUUCCUUCUUCUCCUAAUCUACUGAUUUUAUCUGGUGGACAGCAGGUUUGCACAAAGUGGAAAGAAGAAUUAAAAGAUCCAAUGCGUGAGAAAAAGACGAGGAACGCAAAGGCGAUCAAACCGUACCCUAAAUUGGUGGCGGUUUGGCUACGGUGAUGACGAAGGAGAAGAUUUUGUUGACGAUGGUGAGUCCCAGCGGUGGCGGCACUCGGGGAGUCAAGGCGAUGACCUGGGGUCUUGGGGGCAGUGAGGGUUUGGCGAAUGAACCAUUUUGAUGAAGUGAAAUCAAAAGAUCCAGUCCGCAGGUAUAUAUACCCGUGCGCUCUCGAUGUCACCGAGAUGGAAAAUCGGUGUCACCGAGUUCCUCAACUGUCAGUAGACAGGGAAACUCGAUGUAACCAAGUUGGCGAUUCUAGUGGUACCGAGAUGAGAAAACCUGAUCAACUUUGGAAAACCGGUGGCUCCAAGUUUGUGGAGUUGGUUACACCGAGUUUUUCAAAGAGGUUUUGGAAGGUAGCCUUUGACGAUACUGAACUCCGAGUGCACCUUCACACAGAGGGAUCGACAAGUGCUUGUUCAAGUUUUGUGAUGAAGCAUGAAUAUAAUUUGAGAUGAGAUAGCAUAGAUAGGUAGAGAAGGGUCCAAGGCAUUCUUGUCCAUCCAAUUGGCAAAAGAUAAAACAAAAGCCAUAUAACAACAAUUGGAUGUCCUCGAAUGAUUAAAUUCAUGUAGACGAACAUAUUCACACAAUAAGAAUGAUGAUACAAACAUGGUGAACAUGCACAAACAUCCUAGCAGCUAUCAAGCUCUUGGACGAUGACAAGGUCAUCUAUAUAUGAGUAUAUUGACAUAGGAGCCAAGCAAGAAUACUUGAUCAUAGGUCAUACUCAUCGUUAAGCACAAGUGGGGUUACCACUUUUACAUAAGCAUUAAUGUGUUCAUAUCCUUAGGAGAUGCUUAUACUCAAGUAUUAGAGUAAAGCUCCCCUUGAUAUGAUAUCCCCACUAAGAGGGAUCAACUAACCGUGGGUUUUGUCGUGGAAUACUUCAAGUAGGUGAAGUAGUGGUGGAUGCUCAAAGUUUAUGAAGAUCAUCUUGAGUUGGGAGCAAUCCUUGUUGUUUUUCAUACUCUUCUCACCUACAUGGGUUAGUCCCAAAGAAAAAAAGAACAUACGCAAGUAUAUCUAUGGACAUGGAGUGAAGCACAAAUCGGAUGAUGUCCAAAGAUGCAUUGAUUACAUAGUUCCUUGCUUACCUUUGAGGGAAUGUGUGACUCCUUGAACUAAUGCAUAAGGUUGAGGUUGAUUGCAUAUAGUUCUUGCCAAAAUGAAUAAGAGUGUAUUUCAUUGGCAGAGUCACCCCUCAAGAACUUCUAGUCCUUCCCCUUGGGAAUCCACAUCAAAUUGAUGGGAAUCCUUGGAGUUGUUGUAGCACUUGUUGAUGUUGAGCUAGUAGUAUCCUUGGGAACCCAGUUGACCUUGGCUUGGGGUUCUUCUUCAAAUAGGUCAAUGUCAUCUUGAAGCUUUCCCUUGCAUUUGUGGUCUUGUGGUAGAAGGCCAUCUUGUGAGCUUGUUCCUUCAGAAGGAGUGGACUUCUCCUCUUAGGGAGCAAACUUGGGAGUGGGAUAUGGACCUUCUUCCCAAACAACUCCGUUGACGUUGAAAUAGCCAACACCUUGUUUCUUCCGAUGUCCUCCUUGCUUGCGCACAAUUUACUCGAAUUGCUUACUUCCGGCAAAACUCUCGAAGACACCUCUCUCGAUAAUCCCUUUCCAUAAAUCAUUUUCUUGCUCAACUGUAACUUGUCUAAGAGAAUCGUUAGUGGAAUCAAUAGAGUUACUAGGAACAACAUUAUUGGAUUUAGCUUUAGCAUUGUUGUUACUAGAUGAAGAAACCUUUUUUCCUUUGUUACUAGUGUUCUUAGGCUUAACUUGUGGAACAAAAUUAGACAAGAGUAAUCGUUUGGCUAGAUAAAAAGAACUCUUCUUUCCAAGGUCAUCAUUUAUUGCUUUUGAGAACUCAUGCUCUUUCUCGAAGUUGAGUUUCUCGAAGUGUAGCUUCUCAUGGGUUCCUCCAAGCUCUCUAUGAUCUUCUAGAGUAGUCUCAUGAGAUAACUUAAGAGCUUUUAAUUCUUGAGUUGGUCGUUCAAUCUCUUUCUUAUCGUCAUCAUUCAAUUUCUUUUGACUAGCAUGAUAGUUAGCAAGUUCAUUUUAAGUGCAAUCACUAGUUUUAUCUAGAAGCAGGUCAUCUUCUCCUAACAAGUCAUCCUCAUCUUCUAGAACCAAGUCAGCAGUGUCCGACUCCUUCAUUUGGUGAAUCAAAUAAGUCGUAGGAAUUGGAGGAAACAAGUUCAGUGCUGGCAACACCUUCAUCUUGACUACAGUCGGAGCGGGAGUGAUAGUUUUUCUCGGAGUGGUGAUCAGAUUCGGAGCCACAAACCCAUUUACCAACAUGAGCUUGAUGCCUUCUUCUUGAACUUCUCUUGGUGUAUUUGUCCUUCUUCUCAGAUUCCUUGCCUCUCCCUGAGUAUCUUCGUUCAUAGUAAUCUUCUCUACUCCUUCUCUCUCUGUGAGGUGACUCAUCUCUUGAGCUUCUUCUUCGAGGUGACCCUUCUCUUCUUUUGUAGGGAUCCUAGAACUCAUCUGAGUAGUGUCGGUUUCCCACAAUUUUAGUAGUUUUGGUCACGACCGGACGAACGCUUCUCAUCAUGUCUUGAACUUGAGCUUCUAUCUUUGCCUCUACUCAUGUAGAACUUGUUGAAUUUUAUGACCACAAGGAUUAUCUCUUCAUUAGUGACAAGAUUGUCAUUGAAGUAGCGGGAGCAUCGCAUGAAGCUUUAUAAGCACUGCUUGAAAUGUUGUGCAGCUCAUCUUUGUCUUUGAAUGACAUCUCAUCAGCAAGAAUCCUACCAAUAUGACUUCAGUUGGCUUGAGAUCUUUGUAAUUUGGUAUCAUUUGGGUCAAUUUGCACACUGUGUCAUACUUUCCAUCAAGAGCUCUAAGUAUCUUCUUGAUGAUGAGUUUGUCGGUCAUCUCUUCGCUUCCAAAGCAGGCAAUCUCAUUGGUGAUGAGAGCUAGCCCAGAAUACAUACCUGUGACUCCUUCACCAUCCUUCAUCUUGAACUUGUCAGGUUGACUUUGAAGCACAUCCAACUUAGAUUCUCUAACAUAAUUAGUACCUUUGUGCAUAUCAACCAAAGUAUCCCAAAUAUCUUUUGCACUCUCAAGACGACUGAUUUUGUUGAAUUCUUAGGGGCAAAGGCAGUUGAAGAUGAUAUCGCGGGCUUGAGCAUUAAGUUGCAACAUCUCGAGUUCAUCAGUUGUCGCAUCACGAUCUGGUUCAUAUGCCCUUCUCCAAGAAGUUACCUUGCACACCAACAUGAAUAACAGACCAAACAUGAGGAUUAAAGCCAAGAAUGUGCAUAUUCAUUUUAUGCUUCAAACUAGCAAAAUUAGUGCCAUCGAAGGAAGGACCUCUACGAUGAUAAUUAACCUCACUAGAUGCCAUACUCUCCUAUGUCACUAGACCAAUGAAAUGGAGACCAAAGCUCUGAUACCACUUGUCGGAUCGAAAGUAUGUCUAGAGAGGGGUGAUUUUACUACUUGAAAAGAUAUUUUUUUCCUUUUCCUAGUUUUACUUGAGACGCAACUACGACAAUUAUGACAAAUCAAAUACACCCUACACAUGCAGUACUAAUACUAUAGCAGCGGAAAUUAAACAUGCAAGUGUAAAUAGAGGAGUAAGGAAGGGAUAUCAAACGCAUAAGGUUGACAUGAUGAUUUUUAGCAUGGUUCCGGUAGGUGGUGUUAUCGUGCGUCCAUGUUAGUGGAGACUUCAACCCAUGAAGGGUAACGGCUGUGAGAGUCCACGGAGGGCUCCACCCACGGAGGGUCCAGAAAGAAGCGGCCUUGUCUAUCCCACCACGGCUUCCAUCCACGAAGGACUAGCCUUACUCACGGUAGAUAUUCACGAAGUAGGCGAUCUCCUUGCCCUUACAAACAUCUUGGUUGAACUCCACAACACGAAGUAGGAGGCUCCCAAGCGACACCUAACCCAUCUAGGAGGAACCACCCUCCAAAAGGUAAUAGAUGGGGUAGAUCAAUGAACUCCUUGCUCUGGUGCUUCUAAAGAUAGUCUCCUCAACACAAAUCUCUCUCACACAAAAUAUGCAUGGGUAGGAGAGGUUGAUUUGGUGGAAAGUAGUUUGGGGAGGCUAGAGAUUAAGAUUCAAAUGAUUGGAUUGGAAUAUCUUGGUCUCAACAUAUGAGUAGGUGGUUCUCUCUUAGAAAAUGGAUCUGGAAAUGAAGUGUGUUUUCUGAGUGCUUCUCCCAUGAAUGAGAGGUAGGUGAAGGGAUAUAUAGGCAGGAGCCAAAAUCCAACCGUUACACACAAAAGAGCAAACUCGGUGACACCGAAGUGGACAACUCGGUGGUACCGAUUAGCACUAAAGUGGUGAACUUUUGAAUCUUUGUGAGGCCGAUAUAUAGAACUCGAUGGCACCAAAAAGGUGACUCAUGGUCAGAUGCCCAAACUCGGUGGCACCGAUACUCAAACUCAGAAAUUCCAAUUUUAUGUAUCUUGGCGACAAAAUGUUGGUCACACUGAACUCGGUAGAUGCAGUUUCGGUUGCACCGAUUUGGUGGGAAAGGCUAGGGUUCUGUCUUAGGUUCAAACUUGGUGAGUCCGAUUUGGCAAUGUUGGUGACACCGAAUUUGUAUAUGUGGAACUUGACAGAGUGGAUAUGUGGGAAAAAUGACUGAGUGUUUUGGUGGCUAACUUUGAGCAUUUUAGCAGUCGGUUCAUUUUACUACCUCACCCCCUUUUAAUAGUAUUGGAUUUCCUAUGGACACAAAAGUGAUUUCUCACAAAUAUAAAAGGAAGAGUCUUCUAUCCUGAAACUUGAGCAAUAUUAUUCCUUUCUUGCAUCUAGGGGCAUCUCCACAUAAACCUUAAGCCACAUCAUCUUUUGAACUUUUCUGAAAUAUACUUGGAAACACAUUAGUCCAAUGAUGGAUAUGUUGUGAUCAAUUACCAAAACCACCAUAGGGUAAAAUUGUGCUUUCAAAGGGUCUAUGUAAGAGCUUAGUUUUAGGAAAUUAUACAUACUCAACUAUCAUUUAGUCUUCCAUGAUUGCUGACAGUCAAGGUAUAUUUUAAUACAAGAAAUUUUAAUUAAACACAUAGGAAUAUAGGGCUUAAUGUUUCGCCUCCCAAAUUAUUUAUCUCAUGGUUAAUGUAAACAAUAAUUAAUCAUGAUCACCUAUAUCCAACUAGAUAUAUGUGCCUGGAUCGUUCCCCACCACAUAAUGCUUGCCAACUAAAGAAUUAAUAGACUGGAAUAGGGAUGCACUUUUUAUUUUUUGAUGUGCAAUCUCUUAAUGAAAAGGAACGUCACUUUAUAUUGCCCCUUGAGCUAGCAAACUUUAUUAUGCAGUAUGUUGCUUAGAUUUUCUUGCCAUCAUAAGAUCGUACAAACAUUAUUUUCCCUUAUAAUAAAAGAUCAUACAUGUUAAGGAGCAAUUUUUAUUGUCUUGUGCACCAGUGACAACUUACUUGAAGGAUCUUAUUCUAUCCAUAAGUAGGUAUGGUGGACUCUCAUGGCAAGAAACAGAGUUUAAGGGUUACAGAUGCACAAGUAGUAUCUCUACUCAGUGAAAAUUUUUGGGCUAGCAAAAGAUCCUAAGAAAGCACCACAUGUUAGAGGAUUCAUGACAAUAUAAAUACUAUGUGAAUAUAAGCAAACAUGACCAUUGCGUUCUCUUCCUUGUCCAACGUCAACUACUUGAUCAAGUUUGAAAAUAAUUAAUGAGGGCUCACAAUCAUAGAAGAUGUCCAAGAUAGUUUAUUUAUAUGUGAAAUCUCUAUUUAUUCAAUAUUCCUUCAUAAAUUGUUAAAGUGACCAACAAUAUGUUUGUUAACCUCCAAUAAAUUUUAUUGCUUAUAGUCUUAGUAUGUGAAGUCACUACUUCCCAUGGGACAAGCAUAUGAAGCAUAUAUAAUUUCACGUUUUAUGACAUUUAAGUCAUUCAACAUUUUCUCUUAGGAUAUAAGUGAAGCACAAGAGUAAACAUCAAACUAUUCUCAAAAAGAUAUAAGUGAAGUUCAUAGAGCAUUCUUCAAUGAAUAUAGAGAGAUCAAUAUUCACGCUCAAAAUAUAUAAGUGAAGCACACGAAGCAUUCUAUAAAGCCAUACUCAUAAUAUGUAAGUGAACCACAUGAAGCAUUCUAUAAAUAAACAAAGAAUCAUCUCAUACUAUCAUGGUGCAUAGAAUAAAAUCGAAUAGUAAACACAAAAUAUGCUCCAAGAAUAGCACAUGUGAACGAAUGAAAACAUAGGAUCAACAUUGGUAAUUGAUAAUUGUUGACGAAGAGAGGUGGGAUGCAUAGCAUACCCAAGCUGUAACAUCCCAAAUUUUGGAAUGUUAAUAAAAUUAUUAGAUUGAUUGUUUGAGUGAUUGAAACUUGAGUGAAAUUUGAAACUUUUCAAAAACUUUUGAAUGAGAGGGAAUAAAAUGACUUUCCCCUUUUUCUGGUGAAUUCAAAUUCAUCCAUUUAAAAUCAAUGAGAGGAGAUAGCAUGAAUUCUUCAACUAUAAAGAAUUUGAAUGAAGGCGGCAUUUGAAUUUCUUUCGAUUUUUGUUUUGCAAUUCUAUUUUUUCUCGACUCAAGAAAUGCCAGGAAUAAAUUCUUGCCAAGCAAGAAAGAGAGGAGGAACAUGACCCUCCAAAAACCAAGGGCAUUCAUUGAAAUAUUUUGAGCCAAGAAAAAACCAAAAUUUAAUUUGAGAAAAUAAUGGCAAAAAGAAAUAAUGCUUUUAGGGAUUUUCUGAAAAAAACAUUUUUUUAAGUUUUUAUUUUGGCCGUGGAAAAAUGCCUAUCAUUUAAAUUUUAUUUUUCUGAUAAUUUUAGUAUAUAGAAACUAAAUAUUUCGAAUUUAUUUAGUUUCCAUUUUAUCGUUUACUUUCCGGUUUUUGAAAAUAGGAAAGAAAUCGCAAUUUAUUGGAAACUUUGCCCUGGCCCAUUAAAGCCUUUCCAAAUCUGGCCCAACAGGACCUUCUUCUUACUCACGUACUCCCUCUCUCCCAUGAACUUCCAUAGCAAUGGCGACAAAGAACCUCCACCUUCCCGAUCUCCCUCUCCCUUGCUUACCGGCGCCUCCCGAGCCCCCUAUAAGAACCCCCUCCUCCUCCUCGUUCCAUUUUCCCCAUCAACUCGCCUCCUCCCUUCCCGUAGCCACCUCGCCACCAUCUCCCCUUUCCUUGUCUACAGAAGCUCACAAGGAGCACGCCCACAUCGCCAGGACACCACCCCCCUCGCCUCCAAGAGCCCCUAACGCUCCUCUCCACAGCGCCGACCUGCUCCGCCGUCCCCCCUCCCCGCCGGCGACCUCCACCUCGCCAGAGCAGCCCCACCCCGCCGGAGCACCUCCAAGCCUGUCUAGCCACGGUGAGCUUCAUAGAAAUCCCGUCACAGUUUUUUUUCAAAAAAAGAGCAAACUUAUAAAAUUCAUAUCUAUUAGUCUAUAACUCCGAAUUAGGUGAUUCUUUUUGCGUUAGAUCACAAUUCUCUUUUAGUUUUUGAAAUCAUAUUACUUGCCUAUGUUUGAAAUUUCAAUAUUUGAAUUAGAUCAGAUUUAGUUUAAAUCUUGUUUUGCUUAUUCCAGGAGUUUAAAAAUAGCUUUUAAUUUGAUUCUUUUUGCUGAUGUUUCCUAGUGAUCAUAUCUUUCAGUAGUUUAAGGUUCAAUUUUUUUAAAUAUUUUUACUUGGGGUUUUUUACCAAAAUAGAUUCUGUUUUAGUUCUUUUAGGAUUGUGGCUAUUUCUUUUUCUAUAAUUGUUUUUAAAUUAUUUUCUUUUAUAUUUCAGAAANUAUAUUUUGUUUUCCGUUAUUUUACUAUUUUAGUGUUUUAUUUUCAGUUAGAACAAAAACUAUAUAGUGUUUGAUGUAGUAGAAGGCUUCGUAGCUUCUUUGAAGUUUCCUUUGGAUUUUUAUCCGCUCUCUCUUAUUGAUUUUUGAUUGCAUCAACUUUUAUUGCUGUUCGUUAAUUGAUUGCUAGAAUGGUUGCUAGUGUGAGUGCUUAUGUGAAUACUAUAUUUGAUUAUAUAGAUUUCAUCGGAGAGUGACGAAUAUUUCUAUCACGUAUUUCCCGAGAACGAUAAUUCUUCUUCACCAACCUCACGAGGCAAGUCACUUUGAUCAUAUUAUCGCCUAUGUUUUCUAUGCAUGGUAGUUUCACCUUUCUUUACCCAAUUGCAUGCUGAGUAGGUACUUGGAAAUUAUGGUUACAUGUUGUAGUAUCAUGUGGUAGGCACCCAAUAACCCCGUUACUUGGCCCGGGAUGACAAUUUUUAUGUUGCUAUGCUUGAGUAGACUGGAUUCUGGGGGAGUGCAAUACACGAGUGAUGCGAGAAAUAUUUUAAUAACCAAUUCCGGUUAAGUCAAGAUUUUCAAGACCUCGUGAAGCAAUGAAACUUUGGGUGAAGGACGGUUGAUCGGCUCCCUGGAGAAACCAGUGAAUGACCCGGGAUGCAUGUAGACGUGCCAUGACAUCUUGCGGAAAGCUUCACCCAGGCUCGAAGAGAAGGACGGAGGCUUCAAGACCCAAGGCUUACCUACACAGCCACAAGUCAUUAUGGGCUCUGGCUUGGUUGGACAACGCGGCGACUCUGGACAGGCGGUGCUAGCAGAUGUAGAAGAACGAUAGGAUUGGAUGGCCACCGACAGGGAUUCAGAAGGACCCGUUGAAAGACCAUGUUUUGAUCAUCCGGUCUUCAAACACCCUGAAGUGCGAGGACAUACACGGAGGUGAUCAAAUCUUGUGGGGAACGUGUGCAAAACUCUGCAGAGUACUCAAAUCUAAUUGAUUAGCCGUGUCCACGGUCAUGGACAACUUGAGCCAAAGGAACUGAAGUUAUCAAGAAUUUUCAACACCAUUAUAUAUAUAUUUGAUGUGGGUAAUAUUGAUAACUUGGGUAUGAGAACUGGUUGGCGGAACCAUCUCAUUAACAACCAACUACGUAGUAUUAUUUUGCUUUUAGCCCCUCUCUUGAUGUAAGAGAAAACUUUGCUUUACGCUAAAAACUUAUAGCCCCACCUGCCAUAUAUGCAUAUAGUAUAGAUGAUAUUUUACCCCUCUCUUUUGUGACUUGCCGGCAUAUUCAAUAUGAUGACCUACAUGACUGCAACGUCUUAUGUUGCAGUUAUUUUCCUGGACGAGUAAGAGUACGAUUCAGGGUUACGGUCCGCACUCAACCUGGCGUUGGUGUUAUUUUGGACUCCACUCCCUUGACUGUUUCUGCUGAGAUAUUUAAGGUAUAUAUCAGUUUUACGCUAUUUACAUGUGAUUGUACUUUGAUAUAUACAUUGAUGUACUGUGUGUGCCAGCAUACUGAUCCAGGGAUGGCACAGAUACACGGAGGCUUGACUCGUUUUGAGUCGGGUUGCUACAGAAAUGGUAUCAGAGCACAUGUUGACUGUAGGACGUGACCCUAGAGACUGGAAACUUCUUAGGUUAGUACCUCUCAAAAAUCUUAUUUUCGAGAACACCUUUCACUUCUCAUCUCUUCUGAUUUCAUCAAAUGUUCUCUCUCACCGCAAAUAGUUAUACAAUCCCCUUACCCCUUUGACAUCAUGAAGAAUCACCGGAGUUCUACUUCAAAGUAAAGAGGAUUUCACCAUGCAUUUGAAGAAUUGAAGCUACACCAACAGAAGAAUCUCAAGACCCGAAGAACUCGAAGACCCUGAAGUGUUCCAAUAAUUAUAUGACCAUUAGAAGUCCAAACCCAUUUCAUAUACGCAUGUUAGAUACGAUGAUUUGUGAGCCGUCAUUGGUGUGUGUUUUCCGACGGCCACAAAUAAAACCUAUUCUCAAAAAUAUUAUUUGUAUUGUGUAUAUCUUCCUCCCUCUCUUAUCCGUCUCAUCCCCAAAACCUAAACCCUACCAGAUGGAGUAUGAAGCUGGACUUGUAGUCUCUGGACCAAUGACCCAGCUGGAGGCUGAAAUAUGGAUUCAGAACAUGGAGAACCACUUCGGGAGCAACUUGAUCUCAAGGAAGUAUGAAGUGGAACACGCUCUCCAGUACUUUACCCAAAGUACUGCUAUCUGGUGGAAAAUGCACCAUGCAAUACAAGGAUUCAGUGGAGCAGAACUUGGGACGAAUUCAAGAACACUCUGUUAAGAUCCCGACUUAUUCAGAACUGCUAUGAUAAUCCGAAGGAGAAGACUUGUGCAUGCAAGAUCUGUGGAGAAAUAGGACACACCCAGGAAGAACACAAGCAUGGAUGCACUCAUUGUGAAGAAAAUCACCCAGCUGAGGAGUGCCCAAGCAGUCAGGUGACUUGUUUCCUUUGUGAAGGAACCACCCACUACCCAUCUCAGUGUCACAUUUACCCCAAGGUGCAACAAGUUGUCAAGCAGGAGAAAGAUGCAAUGAAGGAAACCCUCAAGAAGAAGAUCCUAGAAGAACCUGUGAUGAUUGAAAAUAUAGAAGACCCUGAUGAACAAGGUCUGACCAGAUUUUUCUCCAAUGCAUGCUACUAAUGUGGAGAAGAAGGACAUUAUUCACAGGAUUGCACGAAGGGAAGCCAAGAGUAUAUGGGAAACUUCCCGACGGAAAAAGUGGAGUUUGAUCCACUUGAAAUAGAAGAACUGGCCAAAAUAAAGGAGUCCGGAAAGAAGAAAAAGUACCCUAGAAAGAGCCAAAUCUCUGCAGAUAAAGACCUGAGUCAUGUCAGAUGUUUCAGUUGUAUGGAAUUUGGCCACUACAAAUACAUGUGUUUAGGAAGGAAGCCGGAAACCCAAGGAGCAAAAGCAAACACUAAGAAGCCUCGAGACUUGUCAGAACUCAUUUGCUUUCGUUGCAAGGAAGCAGGACAUUAUGCUAAUGAUUGUCCACAUGGGAAGAAAGCUAGAAUGGAGUAGUUAAGUUUUGACCAUAGCAAUAAGUGUAAUCUGAAGCACUCUUGUUUUUCAUGAGAUCAUGGAGUUGAAAUUUUUGUAACCCAAGUCUCCGAGGUUGUAAUAACUCAUGAAUAAAUAAAAUUGUUGUGUCAUGAUCUCCUAUGUUGAAACUGUAAGCGUUGUUUUCUCUACGAGCAAAGAUCUCUGAACAUUUAUGAGGAUAUAAGAAAAUAUGGUCUAUGCAGGCAUGAGUAUAAUUCAUUUUAAGUGUGGUAGUAAUUGUUAAACCCACAGGAUCCACUGAGUAGGAAUGUACCAUGAUUACCAAGGAGACACAUACAUUCCUCUGAGUACCUAUUCUCUCACACCUGCAGAUGACAACCCUCUACGAGUCAUUCCUUAAGGGCCCAGAAAUGAUCAUGACCCUGACUAGUGAUCAUGAUUACCCAAAAAUCCUGAAGGACAUGAUGAAUCACAUUCAUCUUGUAGGAGACACAGUCUACAAAGGCUACCCAUUCAUGGAAAAUGGAUUGGAACUUUGGUAUGUGGAAGUACACCUCCACCAUGUGAAAGGAGUUUGUCCAAAAACUAUGGGGCAAUACUUUUUCAUUUCAAGUUUACCACGAGCAACCUUCUUUGAUGCUGUUCGUGAAGCUGCCAUGGAAGCCAUACGUCAGAUUGGAUAAAUAAUUGAAGCAAGACUCCGUCAUACCUAGGAAUACCUAAGUGAAGUGCAUGCGGAGAUGAUGGAGAUCAAGCUCAUGGCCACCAUGAUAAAGCAAAAGAUGGAUGAUUUCAAGGAGCACCUUGGAAAGUUCCUGUGGAACUAAGGAAUCUCCAAGGGAGACAAAUGAAUAAAGUUGGCAGGAAUGCUUGAUCAUACCGAACAAUGUGGAUGGCAGCAUUUGUAAUAAAGUUAUUUUUGAAUUUGGAGUUUUGAGAAGAAAUUAAGGAUGUAAUAAAGGAUUGAAUAUGAAAUGAAUAUGAUUUAUGGAUGAAGCAAUACCUUUUAUGGUAAACACAUCCAUGGAAAAAGAAAAGUAUCUCAUGGAAUGGCGUGUGAACCAAAAAUAAGUCUGAGGAUUUUUAUUAUAUGAUGGUUACCCCAAGAGUAUGAUGGAGGAAACACUAUAGGAUUUAAGGCGUAGUGAUUCCAAGUAUGCCUGCAACCCGCAGACCCCAAGACUAAUGAGUAUCAAGUACUACCUAUUUGGAGAAGGAAACUUGGAAAAAGCUAAGAUGGAUCAGCAAACGUUUUCUUAGGAGCAUACGAAAACACGAUAGAUGUUUUGUUCAGCUUGCAGAAACAAUGGAUUAUCCGAACUUCGUUCGUGGACAAGAAAAAUUCUGCAAUGCUCGUGAGGAUGCCCAAGUGUUAGAAUGCGAGAUUCGCUAAACCUUAUACAGAGAAAUGAUUUGGGUGCGGAAUGGAUUGAUCACCAUGACGACUUACUCUUAUCAUUUAUCUUGCUAUUUGGAAUGGUAAAUCUGAGGGACUUACCCACAGUGAGAGACGACGUUCUUUGAAGCUUUUGUUUAAGCCUUAGAAUGGUAUGCUGAGAGCCCCAUGUACAUGGCACUUGUUGUCACGCGUAAGAAAUUUUACGGUGAGGAUGAAACCAAGACCCCUCUCUCUGCAGGAUAACCACAAAUGGUAGACCACCAUGAGAAUCGUCGAUAGGUUAUUUAGAAUUGACCACGAGGUUGUCUGUUAAGAAGAUCCAGUAACGGAAGAAGCUUAUAUCAACAGAAGGACCCUCGUUUUAAUGGAUACAUUAUGAAUAUAACGGAAGAGCAUCACAAAAGGAGUUAGUAUGAAGACUGUGAGGAGUCAGAUGCCAAAACCCCAGAGGAUUCUUAAAGUCUUAAGGGACCAGUAAUCUUCAUUUUAAGUGUGGUAGCAUCCCACAUUGCCGGAGAUUGGAUUUGUUAAAGGACCCCCAAACCCUAACCUUUCUUUCUAACCUCUUCGAAUCUCGAGGACGAGAUUGUUUUUAAUUGUGGUAGGUUUGUAACAUCCCAAAUUUUGGAAUGUUAAUAAAACUGUUAGAUUGAUUGUUUGUUUGUUUGAGUGAUUGAAACUUGAGUGAAAUUUGAAUCUUUUCAAAAACUUUUGAAUGAGAGGGAANUGUUUGAGUGAUUGAAACUUGAGUGAAAUUUGAAUCUUUUCAAAAACUUUUGAAUGAGAGGGAAUAAAAUGACUUUCCCCUUUUUCCGGUGAAUUGAAAUUCAUCCAUUUAAAAUCAAUGAGAGGAGAUAGCAUGACUUCUUCAACUAUAAAGAAUUUGAAUGAAGGUGGCAUUUGAAUUUCUUUCGAUUUUUGUUUUGCAAUUCUACUUUUUUCUCGACUCAACAAAUGCCGGGAAUAAAUUCUUGCCAAGCAAGAAAGAGAGGAGGAACAUGACCCUCCAAGAACCAGGGGCAUUCAUUGAAAUAUUUUGAGCCAAGAAAAAACCAAAAUUUAAUUUGAGAAAAUAAUUGCAAAAAGAAAUAAUGCUUUUAGGGAUUUUCUGGAAAAAAAACAUUUUUUAAGUUUUUAUUUUGGCCGUGGAAAAAUGCCUAUCAUUUAGAUUUUAUUUUUCUGAUAAUUUUAGUAUUUAGAAACUCUAUAUUUCGAAUUUAUUUAGUUUCCCUUUUAUCGUUUACUUUCUGGUUUUUGAAAAUAGGAAAGAAAUCGCCAUUUAUUGGAAACUUUGCCCUGGCCCAUUAAAGACUUUCCAAAUCUGGCCCAACAGGACGUUCUUCUUCCUCACGUACUCCCUCUCUCCCACGAACUUCCAUAGCAAUGGAGACAGAGAACCCCCACCUUCCCGAUCUCCCUCUCCCUUCCUUCCUGGCGCCUCCCGAGCCCCCUAUAAGAACCCCCUCCUCCUCCUCGUUCAAUUUUCCCCAUCAACUCGCCUCCUCCCUGCCCGUAGCCACCUCGCCACCAUCUCCCCUUUCCCUGUCUACAUAAGCUCACAAGGAGCACGCCCACAUCGCGAGGACACCACCCUCCUCGCCUCCAGGAGCCCCUAACGCUCCUCUCCACAGCGCCGACCUCCUCCACCGUCCCCCCCCCCCUCCCCUCCGGCGACCUCCACCUCGCCGGAGCAGCCCCACCCGGCCGGAGCACCUCCAAGCCUAUCCAGCCACGGUGAGCUUCAUAGAAAUCCCGUCACAGUUUUUUUUCUUCAGAAAAAGAGCAAACUUAUAAAAUUCAUAUCUAUUAGUCUAUAACUUUGAAUUAGGUGAUUCGUUUUGCGUUAGAUCACAAUUUUCUUGUAGUUUUCGAAAACAUAUUAUUUGCCUAUUUUGAAAUUUGAAAAUUUGAAUUAGAUCAGAUUUAGUUUAAAUAUUGUUUUGCUUAUUCCAGGAGUUUAAAAAUAGCUUUUAAUUUGAUUCUUUUUUAUGAUGUUUCCUAGUGAUCAUAUCUUUCAGUAGUUUAAGUUUCAAUGUUUUUUAAAUAUUUUUACUUGGGGUUUUUACCAAAACAAAUUCUGUUUUAGUUCUUUUAGGAUUAUGGCUAUUUCUUUUUCUAUAAUUGUUUUUAAAUUAUUUUCUUUUAUAUUUCAGAAANNNNNNNNNNNNNNNNNNNNNNNNNNNNNNNNNNNNNNNNNNNNNNNNNNNNNNNNNNNNNNNNNNNNNNNNNNNNNNNNNNNNNNNNNNNNNNNNNNNNNNNNNNNNNNNNNNNNNNNNNNNNNNNNNNNNNNNNNNNNNNNNNNNNNNNNNNNNNNNNNNNNNNNNNNNNNNNNNNNNNNNNNNNNNNNNNNNNNNNNNNNNNNNNNNNNNNNNNNNNNNNNNNNNNNNNNNNNNNNNNNNNNNNNNNNNNNNNNNNNNNNNNNNNNNNNNNNNNNNNNNNNNNNNNNNNNNNNNNNNNNNNNNNNNNNNNNNNNNNNNNNNNNNNNNNNNNNNNNNNNNNNNNUUUGAUUAUAUAGAUUUCAUCACAGAGUGACGAAUAGUUCUAUCACGUAUUUCCCGAGAACGAUAAUUCUUCUUCAUCAACCUCACGAGGCAAGUCACUUUGAUCAUACUAUCGCCUAUGUUUUCUUUGCAUGGUAAUUUCACCUUUCUUUGCCCAAUUGGAUGUUGAGUAGGUACUUGGAAAUUAUGGUUACAUGUUGUAGUAUCAUGUGGUAGGCACCCAAUAACCCCGUUACUUGGCCCGGGACGACAAUUUUUCUGUUGCUAUGCUUGAGUAGACGGGAUUCUGGGGGAGUGCAAUACACGAGUGAUGCGAGAAAUAUUUUAAUAACCAAGACCGGUUAAGUCAAGAUUUUCAAGACCUCGUGAAGCAAUGCAUCUCUGGGUGAAGGACGGUUGAUCGGCUCCUUGGAGAAACCAGUGGAUGACCCGGGAUGCAUGGAGACGUGCCAUGAUAUCUUGCGGAAAGCUUCACCCAGGCUCGAAGAGAUGGACGGAGGCUGCAAGACCCAAGGCUUACCUGCGCUGUCGGGACCCCGAUCCUAAGCCAUAGGAAUCCAUCCUGUAACACAUCGCAUCGCUUUGUGGUCUCACGCACGGUUAACUCCACGGCUGCAGCCUUACCUUAGCCGGGACUGUUUGCGUCUUUUGACUCACGUAUGCGAUAGUGUCGCUAGCAAUCCAAUGUCAAAGAACCCGAAUCGACAUGUCUAGUCAUAAACCAAAGUGGCAGUACCGCACAAGGACAGGCAUACAUGACCCAACAAAGCAGGUGUCGGUCAUCAGCGAAUGUAGACGAGUCGUAGCAAGCUACAAGGACUUCAUUACAUCGCGUGACAUUUCCCCAAAGGGGACAGACACAUCAGCUAAGAAGGACACAUGCCGGUCAACCAAUGUGUCCAGAGCAGUAGCGAACUACCAAGGCUCGUUGGAUCACAAAGGGGCAUUUCCUUGUAAGGAGUGCUACUAAAGUUCACGACUAGGUAAUCGAACCCCAUACAUAUCAAGUAU
This 51349-nucleotide long non-coding RNA is filed under the name Hordeum vulgare. RNAcentral's name for it is "long non-coding RNA (HVUL_LNC004900)". The record is from RNAcentral. Lineage: Eukaryota; Viridiplantae; Streptophyta; Magnoliopsida; Poales; Poaceae.